Molecule: long non-coding RNA, 59601 nt
Filed under: Prunus persica (peach)
Lineage: Eukaryota; Viridiplantae; Streptophyta; Magnoliopsida; Rosales; Rosaceae
Description: long non-coding RNA (PPER_LNC002878)
Source: RNAcentral
UACAAGUUAUAACCAACCAACCUGUUCCCCGGCGGAAGAUAAUUAUUUGGAAUAAUCCAGUAAAAAUCCCUUAAUACGAGUGGACCUUUCUUCCACUUAUUCGUUGGGUGGAGCAAAAGUCACAACUUGUCCACAAAACAACUUUUCAGCAUUCACACCAUGAUUGCACUUCAAUCUUCAUUCAAAUUAAUUAUUCACUAAUCCAGACCAGACCUGACACUAUUUUGCUUAUGCAUUCAUUUGACAAAUUGACAUCCACCUCCUCCAAGAUUACAACUUUUUCAUCUUCUUCGUUUUGGUGGCCGGACGGAAAUUACAAACCCCAAAAACAACAACAGACUUUCAAGUAUCGGAGAGGGAGUGGAACAGAACAAAGAUGCAACCUUGUUGCUCAAGAGAAAUUAAUCAGAUCAAAGUAACAAACUUUAUAUUUCUUCUUCUAUAUAUUUGUUUUAUUUUCUUGAAAGAGAAGAUGGAUCAAAAUCAAAUGAUUCACAUCAUCAAAUUACUUUCUACACAACACACAAUUACAACCAACAACUACAACGGACCAAUCCCAACUCAAAAAUACAACAACAACAACAAUAAUAACAACCAAAUUCCAAUUUUUUUUUUGUUCAACCAAUAAAAAAAGGAAGAAAAAAAAUCAAAGAAGACGAAACGGUUAGUAACUGAGCUUAUUGUACGUUGUCAUUUGGAAGCGAGUCCCAAAGGCUGCGCAACGGAUGAAGCCUGGAGAAGGCGUUGGGCCUGAGAGAGCUGGUUCAUGAGGGCCAGAAUCCGAGCGUGAUCUGUACGAGCCUGAUCGACGGCCUCCGCUUCGAGCUCACCGAGCUGUGAGCAGAGCCGCUCCUCUGCCUCCUCGGCGACUCUUAGCCUCUCACGGGCCUUCUGCAGCUCAGCCUUCAUGCGCUCCUCUCUCUCCUGGCUCUUUCUCAGCUCUAUCUCCAGCUCCUCGUUCCUCUUUCUCAGCAGUUUCUCUUCUUCAACCUCCGGCACUUGCUUUGUUACCGCCAUUUUUGUUUCUUUCUUUGGAAUUGGAAGGCUUACAACAAAGUGUUGUUGCAGAGUAUGUCUGGUGGUGGGGUUUAUAAAGGGCAAAAACUGUGUGUCCAGGUUCAAUGUAUCUACCUUGCUUUCGAAUUUGUGAUUCUGCUUACGCCCUUGCAUCUGUCAUUUAACUCGUUCGUUGGUAUUUGACAACUCUUUUUCCCUUAUUGUUUUUCACUUGGCAUCUUCCUUCCAUAUCGUCAUUACCCAACUAAUCAUGUCGCGCCUCGUUUAAUUAGAGUGAGCAUUUUUCUCUCGCUAUUAUUCUCAACACUAAAAACGUGUAUAUGGACAUAACAAUAGUUUUACAAAUACAAAAUAAAUAGUUAAUUAUAGUUAUACCUAUAGAUAGACGCGUGUGAAAUGUUAACAAGAAUGUUAAAAAUACACCUUAAAUUAAAAUGGUGAGCAAAAAUAUUUUCUUAAUUAUAUAUAUAUAUAUAUAUUUUUAACUUUCAUCACUAUAAUUAAUUAGGAGAUUGAGAUGAGGCGACUUUUUAUUUCUAGAAAUAAAUUGCUGAUCUAAUGCAGGCUGCGCGUUGUAUUAAAAAAUUAAAAAAUUCAGUUGAUUAAUGUCAAUAUAGGUGACCAAAUUCUCGUUGUUUUCACACAUAUGGCAUUGUUUAUUGACCAAUGACCCAAUCAAGAAAAGUUUUGAGCUUGUUUGGGUUGGUCUUUAAUUAACCUAGGAGUAAAUAAAAGGCAAAUCAAUAAAAUCGAGAAAGCAAAUGCCCGACAAGAUGUGUGGUGGUAACUAACAAAACAAAACAAUACUAUGUCUGUGAAAUGGAUCCUUGUAGUGGGUAAUUAUUGGACAAAGGAUCGUGGCCUAUCGAGGUCGCAGAAGACGCACAAGUGGGUGGCCCGUCCUAAUCUCCUAAAGGUUGGGUCACACAUUACAAAGUACAUCAAGAGCCAUAACUUUUUUAUUUUUUGGAGAUUCGAAUAUGAGAUAUUUUUUUUCAAAUUAAGGCCAUCUUUAAUUAUGGACUAUAAGUCAAAUACGGACAUAAAAUAAUGCAAAAUUCAUCUCCAGUCUCGAGUAACAAAAAAAUGUGGUCAAAUUUGGAGGGCCACAUUUGGCUCUUUAGCCUUCCAACUAAGUCAAUUGUAUGGCAACUUUGGCCUAUGCCAAAUUUUUUAUGUAGGCCCAAAACAUGUGCUUUUCAAAAAGAUAAAUUAUCAAGUGUGGGCAAGAGCACGAAACAUUUCUCCCAAAUGCAUAUCCAAUAUCCAAUGUUAAAGGUCCACUAAUGUCAUUGAUGAUGGUAGCUAGCCGUUAGGAUUUUUUUUAUUUUUUAUAUAUAAAAUAGUCUUUUAAAUGUUAUUAACGUAUACGUGUUAUAUAUGGAAUAUUGUCUCUAAAUAGUAGCUUAGUUAAAUUAAUCAAUACAUAAUUGUGGAAUGUAUGAGUGUUGUACUAUAGUUUUUCUCAAAAUAAUAAAAUAUAAAGGAUCCUAAAAUAUAGCCAUGCAUGGCUGGAGAUGUAAAAAUUUAGUCAUACACUAUUCUUUAAAAAAUUAAUAUUUUGGAAGGUUAAAUUUAUAGUAUUUGACUACAUUUAACCCUAUGAUUAGAGAUGGCCUAAGAUAAUUUUCCACUGAACUAGACUCCGUUGACAAAACCAAUUUCUUAAACUUAAAACAACUUUAGCAAAUACAAACCAUCUAAAUAAACAAAUGUUUCACAAUAAUCACCAUCCCUAUUUUUUGUUUUUUUGUUUCUUAAAUUAUUUUAGACUCUCUUUGGAUGGAGGGAUUCGAAAUAAUUAAUUUAGAUAUAGCAACAUAGAUUGUAAUAGUCUAAACAAAUAAUAUUAAUCCAUGAAUUUAGAAUAUCUUUCAAUCCAAAUGGAGUUUUAACGAAUUCCAUUACAUUUUAUGACAACACAAUGGACCGAAAUACGAUCUUAAUUAGUAAUCUAAGACAUUAGAUUUGCCAUAUUUAUUUAUACACUCUUUCGUUUUGCUUAUCUUGUCCUAAAUUGUAUGUGAAGGUAAAAUAAAAAAACAAACUAUAUUACCUGCUUCAAACGAUGACCAUUUUCCUUUUCUAUUAUCUCAACCGCGUGGCCCUGGAGACUUGCUUGAGAAUGAACUAGUGGACCCUGGUGAAAUUGAGAGUGUACGCUGGUGAGGCAUGGAUUAUGACUUGGUGAGCACUGAACAUGCAUUGCAUUAUAUCAUGAUUAUUAAAUAAAAUAAUGGUGAAUCGUCAGCUUGAUUGGUGUCGGUAGAAGGAUUAGGGGAAUAAGGGGGGGUGGGUGGGGUCCCUUCCCACUAAAAUUACCAUGCAUUUGUCAACUCUUGCCUUUGGGAAAAUCCAUUGGCCCAAAGUUCCGUCCUCCCCAGAAAACUUCGUAGAUAGUAGGCAACUACCAAAUUUAAAGAAAAGAAAAAAGAAAAAGAAAAAUUAUAAUGGGCUUCAGUAUGAAAAGACGAUAAUGGACUGGGCUCAGUUUAUAGAUUCUAUGUGAUGGGCUUAGGGUUUUAUUACCCAUUAACAAAAAAGCCACUAUUUGCUAAUGUCUUGUUUAUUUUAGAUUGCAAGAAUUUUGUUUUUUUCUUUAUAAAAAUGUUAAAAAUUUACUCUUUAAAUGAUAACUUGAAAGAGAAAAAACACAUAAUCAACUCAGGGGUAUUUUAAUUUAAUUUCACCUCCGGGGUAUUUUUAGUUUUAAUAAUAAUAAUAAAUUGAUCGUCCUUUUAAGUUUAUCCCCUCCGGCCAGUCUAUUGCAAUGACAUAACUUAAAGCAAGACAAAUGAUUGAGAGAUUUUUUUAUUCAAAGCAAUUUGAAAUGUGUACUUCAACAAAGUGAGGAAGAGAAAGAUACACUGCGUGGGCUCUUUGUGCUCUACGCAAUCCUCGACGUUGCUGUCUCUUGCAUUGUAGAAGAAGAACAUCAAUUACCUUCGCUCUUUUCUUUCGGUAAGUUUUUCAUUUGAUAUGCAUGUUUUUUAUAUUAUAUUAUUCUACUACGUUUCCAAUAUCAUCCUGGGUUUUCUUUUUCAAGAUCUCUGAUUUUUCAUGUCGUCUGAUUGAUACUGCUAUGAUUGUUGCUAAUUUCUUGAUGUUCUUGGAUCAUCCGAAGACCCAUAUGCUUGAUCCGUUACUUUCCGGUGCUCAUGGGUGAUUGAAUGCUUUAUAUGUUCAAUUUUUUAUUUUCGUUUAUAUGGGUCAUUUGAUUUUGCUCAAUCUCUUUAUACAGAGUAGCUGCCUGGUUGCUUCUUGCAUCAUCAUCAAGGUCAAUUGUUGAAUUUCUUACUUCUCUGUACACAUUUACGGUUCAUAAAGCUUCCUUGAAGAGGGUAUUUCAUUUUCUCUGCUUAUGUCUCUUCGUUUAAUCAGAGAAUACACUGGUACACAUCGAACAGUUGUAUAGUUCAAUGCAAGUGCAAGACUUCAUCAGAAUUCGGGUUUUCGUGUUUAAGUGAUUUGGGCAAGGAGUGGUUUUUGUGGUAUCGAUUGCUUCUGACUGAAAUGCUGUUUAAGAGGGACUUGGAGUCUAGUUAGAGAUUUAGUUUUAAGAAUUAUGGAUUUUCAGAAUAAUUUUCAGCUCGAAUCAGGGAAAUUGGAACAGAUAGUUUCCCAGUUUCUACUGAAGAGCUUGCAUAUUGUUUUGGACUCUAGGAUCCCUUCUCUUCACCCACAUGAUCGCAGUGGUGACCUGUCAUCCGUUCCUCAAGUGAGAAAGAGUGACAAGUGGUUCAACUUAAUACUAGGGGACCGCCCUGCAGCUCUUGAAAAUUUGAAUUUUUGGCACAGAAAUGUAAUGGAUCCAAUGAUAAUUGACAUAAUACUUGUUCGUGGAGGGCCUAGUUCUUCUUCCGUUGACAAUCUAUAUGUGAAUUCUGUGGAGGGGACAUCUGUUGAGACGAUUAUAGAGAGGUGGGUUGUCCGGUAUGAAACUCCGCGGGUUGUGGCUCCCCAAACUGGUGACACUUCGGCCUCUUAUAAGAAGACAUACAAGAAGUCAAUCAUACUUUUACGUACUCUUUAUUCAUAUAUGAGGCUUCUUCCAGCUUAUAGGAUCUUUAGACAGCUAAGUACAUCUAGUCAGACUUAUAAUUUUGAUAUUAUUUACAAGGUGUCUUCACUUAGAGAUCCAUUCUCAAGGGCGGAGGAGGAACUAAUGGAGGAGUACAGUUUUGCUCCUGUAGAGGCUCAUCCUGGCUGCCUUUCUUUAUCCGUGACUUACCGUUCAACACUAUCUGAUUUCAAUCUUGAGCCUGCAGCACCAAUGCCACCAAGGAUAAUUACAGAUUAUGUUGGUAGUCCUGCCACUGACCCCCUGAGGUCUUUCCCCUCAUCAGAGAAGGGUGUUUGUGCAACUUCCUUUCCGCGAGGAGGAAUACCACCGCCAUAUACUGUGCCACUUCAACGCCCACACAGCUGGACAAGUGGCAUCUGCAGGCCACCUCCUUUUAUUCACAAUAAACCCCUAGUCGGAUCUCCACCUGCAUAUCGUGCACCUCCAAUGUCACAUGACGUUGGAUCUCCUCCUAUUGAUACAUUUGCUAACAGAGUUCAAAACUAUAGACCUCUAGGUGGUCAUCAGAGAAAUAUGAGUUACGAUGAGUAUCAGCUUUCACCUCCAUUUUCGCCAUCUCCAUCCCCAUCUCCCCCAACAUACUUGUCCAGUGGAAAUUUAAAUCCUAUGCAAACUCGAAUUCGUUCAGGAACUGCCCCUGUUAGUAUCCCUCUUCCAAUGGGGAGCAGAAGCCCUAGAUACCUGUCCCCCAAUCUUUCUGAUCCAAGUAGAAAUUCUCUUCCUCCAUUCUCGCCCAGAAGCAUAAGGAAUGACGCUUCCUCUCAAGAGUCUCCAUCCGUAAUCAGAGCAUUUAGAAAAUUAGAGGCUUCAAGGGCCGGUGAGAUGCACCCUGGAACAUCAAAUCAUAUGGUUGGUCAGAAGGUAGUCCCUGUUUUCUGGUUUAGCAGCUUUUUCACUCCACAUUUAUAGUUUUGAAGUUAAACUGUUUGUUUCAUUCUUUCUAGUAAGACCAUUUAUUAUUGUUUCAUAGGUGAUGAAAGACAGUAAAGAUGAUUCAGGGCGGUUCUCAGGAUUGUUGUCUUCUAGUGGCUCACCACGUGUAGGAUUUUCUAGAAGCUCCAGUAGAUUAUCUUUCCAGGAUGAUUUGGAUGGUUUUGAGUUCUCAUGUCCUUUUGACGUGGAUGAUGUUGAUACAUCAGAUUCUCAAGUCAGGUACUUAAAUUAAUCUUUAUGGUUAAAAUCUAUGUACGGUCAUGGCCCAUUUUUGGCCUAAGGAAAUUUGUAUUUGAGUAAUGGUAUUAUUUAUAUUGAAGUUGUUUCCUUCACAAUUGCUGUGGCUACUUUUCUGGAUGCAUCUUUUUUCUGUUUCUCACUCUUAACUGUUAUUUGUUCCGGGCCUCUUGAAUUGCUGAGUUUUAUGACAGAAAAAGCAGCAGCAAAAAACAGAACAUGGUUGGAUCUAUUUCACAAUACCUGAAUCCCUGUGAUACAAAUAGAAAAAACAAUGCAUUUUAUUUGCACGAUCAUGAUUACCCAUCAUGCUCUAUCAUUUUCCUGGUUCAGCUCGUGUAGGGAUUCACUUUGGCCGCAAGAAAUGCCACCAAAAUCUGAUAUUGAAAUGACAGUUGCUUUCCUAGUGCUGGCUCAAUUGGAGAUAAGCAUCUGUCAAAUUUUCAAAAGACAGUUGACUGGGUAUUCUACCAUUACUUGUAUGCAUCGAGAAGUUAUGCAUGCUUUUAUAUUUACUUAUUCAAAAUUUAAAACUAAGAAUUCAAGUAUAUUGAAAUGGAUGAAACGGAUAAGAUGUUCGCUAGUUACGAUGGGUUAUUUACUAUUAUUGACUUGAAUUGAUAUGCCAUGCAUUUGUUUUCUAGCCUUAUCUUAUGCACUUGAUCUGAGGUUACAUUUAGUAUGUUGCUUGUUGCAAAUAUGCGUAGCUUACUUGCUUAGUAUCUUACAUAUGUUUCUCUAUUCGUGUUUUUGGUGCAGUCAAAAUCUUGAUGGCAGAAAAGCUUCUGAGUAUACAUCACAGUCAUUGCCAAUAGGCAGAAAAUCACAUGAUGCUGCGGUUGGCGUUCUGGUUCAGAUGCUGAGGACAGCUCCACCUCUGCGCCAAGAUUCAAGUUGUUACUCAUCCCAGUCUGUGAAACCUGAACACGAGGGAGGAGUUGCUACAGCUUCUGGUUUCUUUAUGCCUCGGAAGACAUCUGAUGCGCUGGAGGAGCUCAGAAGUUAUAAAGAAAUGAAAGACCUUCUACUGUCAAAGAGUGGAAUGAGGGUGCUUGCUAAAGAAGAAGCAUAAUGAUACUGCAGCUUUGGUCAUUGGUGGGUUACUUGUAUUUCUUGUGUUAGAGGGAAGCUUGAGCUUCCCAGUUAAAAAGAUUGCUGUGUGUAUAACUGGAGCAACCAUUGCCACGCUGUGACAAGAACAUGCAUUUUCCUGUGAAUGCCCUGAACGGAGGACUAACUGACUGUAAAUAUCAUGACUGAUAACUAGUUUACUAUCAUUAAAGCAGUUUACUGAAUUUUAUUGAUCAUUACUCUCUCUCUCUCUCUCUCUCUCUCUCUCUCUCUCUCUCAGAAAAACUUGGAAUUUGCCACCUUGAUAAGGGAAUAAUCGCAGUUGAUCACCUUUUACUUAAAUAAUGAUUUUGAAAACAACUAAAUUUUAAUCAACAUAUAUUCAAAUUUCAAUCUCCUACGGAACCGAACUUAACUUGAAAAAGGAGAUGGGAAAAUGCUUAAACUAAUAAUUAUUAUUAAUUUUGGAAAUAAAAAUAGAAAGAAUUAUCCCAAAAAAAAAAAAAUCAUUUAACAUUAUGGGCCCAAUUCCGCUAUAGUUGUAACAGGCUGUAGCACACAGUCAGGCCCAUUACAGCCCCGUCCCGAAUCCGAAGUCCGAUCCUUUUAGCAGAGUCGGGCUGGCUUGAUCCGGGAAAGAAAGAUGAACGAACGCCCACGCAAUUCAAACUAGGAGAGCUUACAAUUUUCUUUCAUUUGUUCUUCUUCUUCUUCUUCUUCUUCUUCCCGCUGUUUGGCUCAAUUCGGAGAAAAUUUAGGUCAUGGAUCCGUCGUCUUGCCCAUUCUGUCAUCUGGAAGUUCCAUCCUCAGAACUUGAGUGGUAUUAUAAUACGCAACUCAUACACACAUAAUAUAUAGCUGCAUAAAUAUUUGCAGCAAAGCAAAGAAAGUUAAUCCUUUUUUAUUUAUUUAAAAUUUCUGGAUUGUGGUUAUGUAUGUGAUUUGUAAAUAAAAUGAAUUGUUGCAGGCAUGCCAACAGCCACUUUGAGGUCGAGGAUGAAGAUGAACAACUGGCAGCAAGGGACUUGGAAUUUGCCCAACAACUUGCUCUUGCCCCUUCUUCACCUCCAUCAUCAUCCAUGGUAUUCUUUUACUUUCUCGUUUACUUUCUCUUCUUAUGGCUUGCCCAUUCAAAUCAUAUAUGAAAACAAAAGUUUCUUGGGUUUUUAUAAGCAAGAAAGGAUUUUUAUUCGUUUUUCUCAGGGAAAAGAGAAACGUCGUUAACAAAUGGUUGGACAGCAACUUUGUUUUCUUCUUCUUCUUUAGUCUUCUUUUAAGUUGUAAUCUGAAGCUGUCUACUAACUUCUUAGUUUCGUACUGGAUACACCCGCAGAAUAGUCAAGCAAUCAGUGACUUGCCAAUUUCUAGAUGUGAUGCACAAAUUAGCAUGGAGGAUAAAGUCUCUUGCUUGAUUGCUUUACAGACUAGGACCACUUUCUACGAAAUUGAACAUGGCUUGAUGGCCUUGCUGAGAGACUGUUUGGAGUCAGAACGUGGAAAUACAACCAGUAUUGUGUCCGGUUAUAUUGAUCAUUUUCAGAGCAUUCCAUCUGAGGACGUUGGGUGGGGUUGUGGGUGGCGUAACAUCCAAAUGCUUAGCUCCCACUUGCUUAUGCAAAGGCACGAAGCUCGGGAGGUUUUAUUUGGUGGUUGGGGAUUUGUUCCUGAUAUUCCAUCUCUCCAAAGAUGGCUUGAGAUUGCUUGGGAAAAGGGAUUUGAUGAACUUGGCUCUGAUCAUUUUGCUAAUAAUAUUUAUGGCUCAAAAAAAUGGAUUGGAACUACUGAAUGUGCUGCCCUUUUCCGUUCUUUUGGGCUUCGAGCAAGAAUCGUAGAUUUUGGUCCCAAGGAACUUGAAUCAUUUUAUCCUUUGCUUCCUGGUUCAAGUCUUGGGAAAGAAGUAAAGAGAAUACAUAAUGGCGGAAAGAGGAAAGCAAUUCAGGUUUGUGGCCCGAUGGAUAGGUAUCUAUUGGCAAGGAAUCAUGAUGUUUCCCAAGCAAGUUCCAGUGGGGAUGAAAAGUCUGGAUGUUCUAGUAUUCCUCUUGGUGACUCGUUGGGUAGCAAAAGUAAUGAGAAUUUGGGAAAUAAGUUUACAAGAAAUAGCAAGGGUCAUCAGGUUCUCAUUGAUUGGAUCUGGAACUAUUUUUCUGAUAAAAAUUUUACCAAAUCUGGCAAUCGUCAGGUUGUUGUCAGUGACAAAACGUAAGUUUCUAUCUCAGUUAGUAGCUAUAGUACCAAGAGUGCACACUUUAUUUUUAUAUUUUGUUCUAAUUUGAAGAGAGGUUCUUUGAGCAGACCCUUGUACUUCCAACACGAUGGACAUUCGAGAACGGUUGUUGGGAUUCAAGUCAAACAUCAACAUAAUGGGAUGCAGCAGCACAAUCUCUUAAUAUUGGACCCUGGCCAUGUAAUGUUCCAUCAAUUCGUAGGAAUCUGUGGAGCAUCUUAGGUUUAACAUCUGUAUUUUGCAAUUUAUUAUUGAAUACAAUUGUCUUUUCACUCUUGUGACACACAAUUACAGAGAACAGCAGAUCUGGAAAGAUCACUGAAACAAAAGGUCGGAUGGCAGAAGUUCAUCAAAAGAGGGGUUCACACACUGAAAAAGCCACAGUACCAGGUAAUGAUUAUUUAAAUAUAACAUUUGCCUUUGGUUUGACUACUCAUUUGGACUGGACUUGAUGCAAUAAUUUUAUCUCAGUUGUGUUAUAUUGAUACUGGAAUAGCAAAUCGGGAGGAAGUGGAGUUGCUCAAGACAAUAGAAAGUGUUUUUCUGGAGUUCUAGAGGAACCUGUUGAACAUUUGCGAUCUGGAUUCUUGUUCUUCUGAAUAUACGUGAACAGAGGAACAAGUGGCUAUAUUAGUGUUCACUUAUAUGCAGUGAGUGUUGACAGGACAGGGAAAGAUAAGAUAUGUUUGAAAUUAACGCAGCCUAAAAGAGAAUGAUUUGAUAUUCGUUUUAAGGCUUGUCCCCCACCCUUAGAAAGACAAUUUGAUUUCUGAAGAUAUUCUGGCUGCAGUUUCUGUGUUGACCUCUUCUCUACAAAUGAUCCUGACUAAUGAUGGAUUGAUAUUGAGGAAAUGUGUUACUGUUAGUGGAUUUCAUAUGUGCAAGAUGGCCAGAGAGUCAGGGGUUCAGAUCUUCUUACUCUUCAGAUGCUAGGAUGCUGUGAUGUUUUACAAGCUCUUAAUCUAGGCUAUCGUGGUUAUCAUUAUGAUCAAUUUGAGUUGCUUUUUAGCUGCCUGGAAGAUUUGGCAGGAGACACAGCACGAAAAGUGACUCCCUUAUGCUUGCUUUCUGGGGGUGUACUUACUUUUGAGGGUGAGGAAUAAAGCCUGCUGGAGCUCAAGGGAACAUUCUUAUAUUCUUAGUUGAUGUUGAUGGAGCGAAUGACUACCUGUUAGUCUAUUAUUUUCUUAAGUUUUGUUGAUUCCAUCCGGGAGUGUAUUCUCUUGUGUACAUUGUAUUUAGAGUCCAAAUGGCAUCAUCCGAGAACAAAUUUAUUCAUUUAUCAAUAAAUAGGAAUAUAUGUUGCAACUUCUGUGCUUCUCUAUUCAACAAUUCAUUGUGUCAUUAACCUCGUCCCGCCCCUUUUAAUACGUCAUUAACCUCGUCCCACCCCCUUUUAAUACGAAAUUGCUACAAGAAUAUUACUUUAAGCUCCUAAAUAAAAAUAUAUAGUCCUAAGGAUUUUUUAAGUGCCCUUGCUGUAUGCACAUCUCCAAGGCAACUGAAUGUAUUAUGUUACUCUUCUGCCAAGUUCUGUAGCUGAUAUAAUCUUGAAUAAACUCCCUCAGAUGCUGUUAUAAGGGCUGAGUGGGAACCUAUCUCCACAAUCUUGCCUUUAUCCAUGACGAUAAUGGUAUCUGAGUUUAUUAUUGUGGAAAGCCUAUGUGCGACUGUAAUUUGUGUGGUUUUUGACAGUAUGCCCCCAUUGUUUGUCAAAUUUAUAGCAGCCAGUGCACUCACAACAGAUUUCUCCGAUUCAGCAUCAAGGGCACUUGUUGCUUCGUCCAGGAGCAAAAUUGCAGGCCUCUUUAGCAGUGUUCUAGCUAUGGCUAUUCUUUGCUUUUGUCCUCCUGAAAGUUGACAGCCCUUCUCCCCAACAACUGUUUCAUAUCCGUCAGGCAAAUUACUUAUGAAUUCAUCUAUGUUUGCUUCCCUAGACACCUCCACAAUCUCAGUCUCAGAAGCCCCGUCGGUCCCGUAGCAGAUAUUGGCUUUGAUUGAGGAGCUAAAAAGAAGAGGCUCUUGUUGAACUAACCCUAUUUGUCUUCUCAACCAUCUCAAGUUAUAUUCCCUUAUCUCCUUUCUGUCAAUGAGUAUUCUUCCUUCCAUAGGAUCAUAAAAUCUGAGCAGAAGGGCCAAUACAGAAGAUUUCCCAGCUCCACUUGGGCCAACAAAGGCCACCUUUCUUCCAGCUUCAAUUUGCAAACUGAAGUUGUUCAGGACAGUUACUUCUGGUCUUAAAGGGUAAUUAAACUUGAUAUUUUGAAAUUCGAUGCUCCCUUUGAUUCUGUCAAGAUUUGAAUUUUCUGGUAUAGCUGGUUCUAUUUCAGUUUUGCGGUCAAGUGUCUGGAAUGCAGGAGUUAGCACACUGAUGGCCGAGAUGACAGUGGGAAUCAGUGUCCAUAAUUCUGUGAUUGAAGGUACUGUAAGAGAAAAAAUCUGGUAUGACCUUAUGCUAUUUUUAAAGCUUGCUUGAUGUCUAUCAACCAAGACUGUUGUAUACCACAAUGCAACAGCAUGUGCGAUGUUCCAUAAGCAAAGGGAAACACCCUGAAUUAUGCCGUACUUAAUACUUUCUCUCCUGCACUUUCUCCUGGGGUUUUCCAGAGAUAUUUUGGCUUUUCUGAGUAUAUGAUCUUCAUGACAGAAGGAUGCAACGGUUCUUAUGUUGGUUGCAGACUCAGAAGCAAGAGUAACAAGUUCAGAAUGUGCAGCAGCUGCGUCACCUGAAAAUCCUUUAGCAGACUUGGCUUGAAUCAGACCACCAAUGAAGUGGCAAGGCAUCACAGCCCAAGCUACCAAGCCCAUUCUCCAGUUAACAGCCAUGCUCACAAUUGUUGCAAUCAGUAUGGAGGAGAUGCACUGAACAAUAACAGACAUACGAUCAGCAAUGAUGGUUUUAACCAUUGAGGUGUCAUUGAUGAUCCGUGAAGUAAGCGGACCAAUGUUGUUCUCAGGUUUCUCAAACCAUGCGAUUUCAUUGCGUAGUACACCUGCAAGAUUAUAAUGGAUGGGUGUUAAUUUGUAGUUUUGUAUUACCUUCUAGAAGCAGAAUUUAAAAUAUGAGAUGAUUGUUACGGGUAGGACUGUAUGAUACCUGAAUAGAGAGCUCGUCUCAGGUUUGUCAUGGCCUUCUCUCCCACCAUUCCAAAGAAGUAAUGUUGCACGGUGUGAGAGAAUAAUGAAAGAAAUCCUAUUACAGAAAAGACGAUUGAAAAUUUUUCGACCUUCCUCUUAGCAUCGUUCUCGUAGUAUGCUACUCCGAUUGUUAUAAUGCAAUACCCAAAGAUAGGCUUUGAUAUGCCAGAGAAAGCUGCUGCAAAGGAACCAAGAGCAAUCUUUCCAAAGUCUCGCUUGUUCAAGUCAAACCAGAUUCUGAAGAAUAUAGCUGCUUUUCUUCUUUCCUGUUCUUCAUGCUUUGGAGACUCCUUAAGCUGGCUGUCAGGCUCCCUAGGUUCCUUGGCUUGUUCUAUCUCUUCGGGAGAAAUCUGUUGGGUGUUGGCAGGUUCUUGAGAGGAACUAGUGUCUCUGUUUUUCAGUCCACAUUGUAUAAUGGUUAGGUUGUUAUGAUUUAUUGCUAUUACGUUACGUGUGUAAGCAUUAAGCAAGGGAGAUUUUCAAGUGUGAAUUAAUAUUACUAACCUUGAGUCAUGAACGGGGUUAAGGUUCUGCAUAGCAAACAAGGUAUUGUAGAAUUUGCUGCUGUCAAGCAAGUUACGAUGCGUCCCUGUUUCUGUAACUUGGCCAUUUUCAACAACAGCAAUCAUAUCCGCAUUAAUGACAGUUGAUAGUCUGUGUGCGAUCAAGAUGACUGUCCUUCCCUGCAUGGCCUUGUCAAGGGCGUCUUGAACCACCUUCUCUGACUCUGAAUCAAGAGCACUUGUUGCCUCGUCAAGCAGAAGAAUUGGAGGGUUUUUUAGAAUGGCUCUAGCUAUGGCGAUUCUCUGCUUUUGUCCUCCUGAUAACUGGACACCCCUUUGCCCCACCUGGACCCCCAUUUCAUCCAAAGUGCACAAGUUAUCAUAAUGUCUUAAUAUACUAUACUCUUAAUGAGUUGAGCUGAGUUGCUGACCUCUGUUGAGUAGUCAUCUGGAAGUUGGGAUAUAAAAGAGUGUGCAUUUGCCAUAACUGCUGCUUUCUGGAUCUCUUCAUCUUCUGCAUCCAUCUUACCAACUUUCAUGUUGUCUUUGAUGGUCCCUCCAAACAGUGAUGGCUCUUGCGAAACUGCUCCUAUGUUUUUCCUCAGGAACUUCAAAUCAAGGUCCUUGACAUUGUGGUUGUCAAUCAAAAUCUCCCCUGAAUAUCCAUCCGUACGUACAUUUAUCAAUUUCAUGUAACAAUAAGAAGAACUCUGUGCAACAAGGAAACUCAAAGAAAAGCCUGCCUACUUAGUUGUGGGGUUAAGGAGUUGAAAAGCAGGGAGGCAACAACAGACCUUUUGAGGGAUCAUAGAAUCUUGCGACAAGGGAGAUGAUAGUACUCUUCCCACACCCACUGCUGCCCACAAAGGCUACUGUCUGUCCAGCUGGGAUUGACAAUGAAAAUCCUUGUAGAAUGGCUCUCUCCGGCCGGGACGGGUAGGAAAAGUGCACAUCAUGUAUGUCAAUGUUGCCAUAAAUCUCAUCAAGUGUCUUCCCUUUUGAAUCAUAACUUAUAACUGGCUCUCUGUUUAACACUUUGAAAACCUCAGUUCCUGCAGCCUUUGCCUGAUUGAAGAUUUGCAUGUCGGGUGCAGCAUAAGUGAGUGAUCUGAAAUUCAAUAGAAACCAAUUCAUUGAGGUUAAUUAUUGAACAGUCAAUUCAUAUAUAGAAAUUUGCUUGCUUGCUUCCUUGCUUACAUAGCUCCAAAGAGAAUGCUCAUGACAGCAGCUAUAAUAUCUCCACCGCUUGCCCUCGUGGCAGUGACUACAACAGCACCAACCCAUAUGACGAGAGCCCAAGAACCAAAAGACACAGAUUGAAGCAUUCCUGUUCCAACUCCCUUUAUUAGAGCCUCUCCUUUGCUUAGCAAAUACUGUUUUCCCAUGCACUCUGAGAAAGACUUGAUUGCAGACUUUUCUCCAACAAAUGCAUACACUGUUUUUAUCUGAGAUAUUGUCUGUGAUGAUGAUGCAUACAGGAAUCAGUUAGAUAGUAAUAUAUAUAUCUUUGUUGUUUGGCACUGGCAGGGUCUAGCUGGCUAGCUAGCUGUUACCUGUUCUACCAUAGACGUAGCUUCUGACUGGUAAAGCAUUCUUGCGGCGGAGAUGGCGUUCAUUUUCUUUGUGUAGGUUGCUCCAAUUAUAAGAAUCAACGGGACAACCAAAAAGGUAAGCAGUGCCACUUCCCAACAGCAUAUGGCAGCAAUCAAAAUUCCAGAAAAGAAAGUUGCAAGGCAUGACAGAAAAUGACCCAACUGCAUGCCGCAUGCGAGUGAUAUUAAUAUUCAUUAUUAAUUGUCAUGACUCAUGAGCAAGAGUAGCUAGGAAUUAAACCUUCUCUCCAAUUGCAUCCUGUAUGAUACUCAUGUGGUUACUAAUUCCAGUAAUGAUUUUGCCACUUGUUAAGUCUGUAUCAAAAGCUCCAAUCUCCUGGCUGAGCACUGCUCUUAGAUAUGCUAAUCUUAGACGUGCCACUUGUCUUUCACUUGAAUACAUCCAGCAUCCAAUUUCUGCAAAACUCCCCUCCAAGCAAGCAGCAGGAUAUGAUUAGAGGUUUAUUAUCUUACUAACAUGGACAUUCAAUACUAGUUGGAAAUGAAAUAUAUAUAUACCAAGUAUUCCAGCUGGGAAUGUGGCGAAGGCCAUGUACCACACAUAUGGAAUAACCUAAUUUACAAACAACAAAAAAGCUCAUGAGAGAAGUGAAGCAAGCCUGCAUGCUUUUUAAACUUAAUUUACAUACAGUACCUUGUUGAGGGAUUUAACCGUGGCAUCAGUGUCAUUGAUGUUGCUCCCAAAGGCAUCGAGAGCUUUGCCAAGCAACAGAUAUCCAACUGGAAAAGCCAUACCAUGCACAAUGGAACCCAACGUCCCCAAAAACAUCAUGCUCCAAUCCAAUGCGUCUGCAUAGCUCAGCAGUUCAUUAAAUCCCAGAGUUUCGACUCUCGUCAUCUCCUCCUUGGACUUCUCGUCCUCCAUCAUUUCUUUCUUCUCUCCGAUCUGCAUGACUACUUUUCCAUCGCAUGCAAUGCAGCAUAUACUUAUACAGCAUGCACUUAUUAAUUAAAAGGGUUGCUAUCCCCGUUUAAUUUAAUAUACAAAAUUUAUGAAAACAACACGCAUGUACAGAUGCACCAAACGAAUAUCUCCGUAUAUACCUUGGCAAAAUCAAGGAAAAAAAAACAUUUCCUCCUGGAAUGGUUUAUUCUCUUGGCUGCAUCUUGGUGUUCAAAAUACAUGCACAAGAAUAUGCAUGGUGGCUGGCAAGAAGGCAGUGGUUUGUAUAUAAGUUAAACCCUGCUUACCACCCAAAUCAUUGUUUAAUGAUUUCCGUGCAUUCAUUAAUAGAAAUUUCAUUUUCAAAUCCAUUUGAUUAUGAGAUAUAUAUAUAUAUACAGAGCAAUUGAAAUGAUUUAUUGGAAUCUCUGGGGUUGAAACGGAUCAAAUUAAAGUGAAGGAAAUCUGGAUAAGUAUUAGUACGUAUGUCGAUUGAGAUGGUGACAAUGAUUUUAAUAAUAAAAAUUUGUAUUAUUUUCAUAUAUAUGAGAACUAGUAAUAUUCAGUGUCACUUAAUUACAUGCAUAUAUAUUCUAACGAAAUAUUGAAUAUUUUGAAUGCUUUAUCAUUCUCUGUUUUUUACCUUUUUAUAUAUAGAUAAUGUUUAUCUUUGCUGUAAAAAGUUAGUUUGAGACCACCACUCCUUUUUUUUUCCUUUUCGGUUUCGUUUGUUUUUUCUGAAAGCGCAUCUUCCAAUUAUACUAAGAGAUUUGGGCCGUCCGAUUAAAUUUCACAAUGGACCAAGCCCAGCAAAUCAAACAAACAAUAAUGGGCUCAAUCACUUUUUUCGCAAUUUGGAUUCCUCAUAGGCAUUAUCGUUAGACCAAAAAGAGAAAUACUAUAGCUACUUGGAUUUUCAAUUUUCAGUUGAUAAUCAAUGUUUAGUUCAAAAUUUGGAUGGUCUCUCAAGUUCUCAACCCUUAACUCAAUUGCUAAUUUCUUACCUUAUACUCAACUUAGUCCACCUUCCUUCAAAUUUCGAGUUAUACUAAAAUUUGAAAGAAAUAUACACGUAUCAAGUUACAUUUAUAUAUCUUUCAAAUAAUAUAUCAGGUCAUUGUAUUUGACAUAAUUACACGUGACUAUUUUUAACGAACUUGGAUGCUAAGUAAUGACAGUUAUUUGUGAAGUAAAACGUGGAGAAUGAUAUUUGAUCAUUUUUAAAGAAAUGUAUGAAAAUCAGGAUUUUGGCAAGAAGAAGAAGAAAAAAAAAAACCCCCACAAUGUAAAGAAAUAAAAAGAAAGAAAAAGAAAAAUGUUUAGUUGGGCGCGUGAUUUGGGAUACCAAAGUUCCAGGUGGAGGGAUGAUAUUGCGGAUCUUGGGAUACAAGUCGAGUGCUUUGAUUGUCCACGUAUAUAAAAAGGUAUUCCUUCCUUACACUCUCUCCACCAUGCCCUACGCUAAAUGAACUCCGAACCAAACCAACCCUCCACUGUGACUCACUGAGAGCUCGUCGCCGGUCGUUGCCGGUCGUCCCAAACCGCCGGUUAGCUUCUCUCUCUUCUUAUACUUUUCUUUUCACCGAUUCAACUUUUUUCCAUCUUCCCCCUUUUGCCCAUCCGCUCUCUAUUUAAUUUGUUCUUCUCGUUUUUUCCUUCUUUCACCAUUUAUUUUUGAUAGACUAUUUGGGAGGCUUUCUGCCGAAUGCGUCUGAUGGUGUAUCUGAAUGCAUUGAAGUUUGCCAUACAUUGUUACCCUAUACAAUCUAUAUAUACUUUAUAGCUUUGCUUAUCGCUAGCUUUUAGUUUGACAAUGUCGCUAGGGUUAGUUUUCCGAUUUUGUGUAAUUGGUGUUUUUCGUAGUUAUAAACUUGUUGCUAUUAUUGAUUAGGCCGCUGGGGUUUCUUUUUCGUGUUGGGUUAAAUAGUAUGGUAGUUUAUUUUUCUUUUAUGUACAUGUAGUAUGUGUACUGGGUUUCAUAAUCUCUGAUUAUCUAAUACUUGAAUUUUCUUUUUAUUUCUUGUCAGAUUUUGAUAUAGGCGAGCAUAACAUUUUUUCUUCAGUUCGCUGCACACAGUACCCUUCAUAUAGUAUCGCCAAGAUGGCGAACCUAGCAAUGACCGGCAUACUGGAAAAGGUGUGAUCAUCUUAGGUGUUUUCUGGCUAAAGGAAGAUGAAUGUGUGUUUACUGGUUGCGUCUUUCGGCUGUGCUGCAUGUGUGAUACAUUUUGACUUGUUCGAGUUUGUUUUUCAGAUGACCGGCAAAGAUAAGGAUUUCAGAUAUAUGGCAACAUCUGAUUUGUUGAGCGAAUUAAACAAAGAAAAUUUUAAAGCUGAUGGUGAUCUAGAGAUAAAGUUGUCAAAUAUUAUAAUUCAGCAACUUGAUGACGUUGCGGGUGAUGUAUCUGGAUUGGCUGUGAAAUGGUAUGGAAUAUGUAUCUGGUUUAAUUCUAUUCAGCAUUCAUUAUUGUGGUUGUAGUUGUACAAAUAUUCUGGCCAGUGUUCUGGGUGAUUGUUAUGUAACUCGUGUUGAAUUGUAAUGAACAAGCAUACAAACUCGUAAUGCUUUGGUACUUCUUUGCAUGUAAAGUAACCUUGUAUAAGUUUCUAGACAUAUUGACGCAGAUUGUAGGUAAUUAGUAGAAUGUUAUGGAAGUCUCCCAGCACAUUUCAGGCAUGGGUGAUUUCAAGUACCAUGUCCCUGAAAUUUGAAGUGGUUUACAAAUCAAAAGUAGGCAUGACAUGCUGUCGAUGCCUUAUGUUCUCUCGGUGUAUCAAUGUUAAAAUGAGUGAAAAAAUAGAAAAAGUUAUGUGAUACAGAUGCUAUAGUAGCAAAUUUAUACAACUUUUAGUUUGAUUAUUUAUUUGUUGUUUUUAUGUCAUACCACAGUCUUGCUCCAUUAGUUAAGAAGGUCAGCGAGCAACGAGUUGUGGAGAUGACAAAUAAACUUUGUGAGAAAUUGCUAAAGGAGAAGGAUCAGCAUCGUGACAUUGCAAGCAUAGCUUUGAAGACUAUUAUUGCUGAAAUUUCUACUCAAUCUCUUGCACAGUCUAUUCUUCUGUCUAUUUUGCCACAGUUGAUUAAUGGAAUUACUGGCCCAGUGAGUUAGUAACUCUUAUCUUUUGUCACUUUAUUAUAGACUUUUUUUUCCUUUUUGGGUCAAGGCUCCCUUUAUCAAUUAAUAAGAUAUGUUGGAUGCUACUAACUUGGAGAUGAAGCACCUAACAAGAUUGAUGAUUUGCAUAUGUAGUCUAGAAAAUUAUAUCCAUGAUGGCCUUAGAGAUGCGUCUAAUUUGUAAAUUAUCACCCUUUGGAAAGUACUAAAGCUGUAUAAACAUUGAAAAGGCUUUAGAAAUUACAAAUUUAGGAGCACAAAGAACUGAUGUGCAUAAGUUGGUUUUGUUUUUGUUCCACGUGGACAUUUGAGCUCUCUCUUUUUGUAUUUGUUUCAAUUUUGUUUGAUGCUUAAACCAACUUGAUUUAGAAGGAAAACUGGUUUAUAGGCCAUGUUUAUAAAGGACUGGAACACCAUAAUUAAAAUUAGUGAAAAUGAGUUCAUGUCCCUUGGUUGAAUGGAUCAGUGACUCUCUUUCUCCAUUGAUUCUUGAGUUUUAGAAUCAAAUCGAGGGCUUAUUAACUAGUGGUUAAAUUCAAUGAAAAAACUGGAGAUUAGUCAGAAUCAAUUUAUAUUAUCUUUCAUUUCCUCUGCUAUCAUCUGUUCUCUAUCUAAUUCAUUCAUUUAUUCCAUUGCAUUGCUAUUUCUAGAUGCCAACUUUUGGUUUUUCUUGCUAAUCUGUGUGCUCUAAUUUAUCCCAGGGAAUGAGCCAAGAGAUAAAAUGUGAAAGUCUUGAUAUCUUAUGUGAUGUUCUUCAUAAGUUUGGCAAUCUAAUGGCAACCGACCAUGAGCUGCUAUUAGGUGCUCUCUUGUCUCAGUUGAGUUCCACUCAAGCCGGUGUCAGGAAGAAAACUGUGUCAUGCAUUGGUAAGAUUCACUGGAUUCCUUGCAGUCACUUUUGCUUACCUCAAACAUGUAUUAGUUUUUUCGAAGAUCUGAAGGCCGUUUGGAUUGACUGUUGCCCCUCACAUUUAGUCAGUUUUUAAAAAUAAAAUAAAAAAUUACUAUUUUGGGUUUUUGUUUACCAUUCAGAACUAAGGGUUCUGGUUUGGGUUCUUAGUGGUGUACUUAUUUCUGAAUUCUAAUAGUUUCUGAGGCUUGUGACUAACCAAAUUUUAUGAAGAAAUAUGCAUAAAUUACCAUCUACGUAGAAACCUGUUUGAUUUGGUUCUAUCGUACUACUAUUGUUCAUACUUGUUGAAAUUGGUAUUGAGAAAUUAGAUGUAGAUUUUCCUUGUUUUGUUUCGUAAAUUGAAUGGUAGAUUGAACUUGACAAAUUGUUUUGCCUUUAGCUUCUCUUGCUUCGAGCUUGUCAGAUGAUUUGUUAGCAAAGGCAACAGUUGAAGUUGUUCAGAACUUGAGAAAUAAAAGCUCAAAAUCAGAAAUGACUCGUACAAAUAUUCAGAUGAUUGGUGCUUUAAGGUGAGCUUUAUGGUAUGCAUUCUUUUGCUGAUUUGCUUGACUUUCAAGUGGGGCGCAUACAUGGGCAAAAAAGAGUGGAACACAUGACUUCACUGUCAACGUAGUUUCUCACGUAUUACAAGUAUCUGACUUUAGUCUUAGAUACCGUGUAAUGUGCUUACGGUCUAGAGAUAACUUACUUUUGGUAACUAGUUUGAUAUUAUGGUGUGCAGUCGUGCUGUUGGAUAUCGUUUUGGACCCCAUCUUUCUGACACUGUCCCAGUGCUAAUUAAUUACUGCACAAGUGCAUCAGAGAAUGAUGAGGAGCUUCGUGAAUACAGCUUGCAGGUACUGUAUGUAUGAUUUUCUUUGUUGUGUUGGUAUUUUUCAUUAGAUUUCCAGGAUUAUAUGAAAGGUAUGUUAUGUCUAAACCAAUUUUUUAUAUACAUAUAUAUUGGUUUUGUUCAUAUAUGCUUUAUUUUGACUGCAGGCAUUAGAAAGUUUUCUGCUUAGGUGCCCCAGGGAUAUUUCUUCCUAUUGUGAUGAAAUUCUUCAUCUUAAUUUGGAAUAUCUAAGUUAUGACCCGAACUUCACUGAUAACAUGGAGGAGGAUACUGAUGAUGAAACGCACGAGGAGGAAGAAGAUGAGUAUGUUUUCAAUCUGUUUGAGGUUAUGUUUGAUUCAGAAUCACAUGUACACUUUAUGAUUUCUAAACAUGCUGGCUUUAUUAUGUUGUAGUGAGAGUGCGACUGAAUAUACGGAUGAUGAAGAUGUAAGCUGGAAAGUCCGAAGAGCAGCAGCUAAAUGCUUAGCGGCAUUAAUCGUUUCCCGUCCUGAGAUGCUUUCAAAGCUGUAUGAGGAGGUAUCUUUGCAAUUUCUCUUGAAACUUCUCAUUAUGUUUUUGGGUGCUCUCUUGUGUUUUUGAUAUAUUUGUAACAUUAUGAUUUUGCAUUUUACUUGGUAUGGAUCUCUCGUCGACUUGAAGUGUGAUGAUUAAUUUCCUUCAAUUCUCAGAUAGUCCUUCAAUGAAAUCAUUAAACACUUUCUGCUUUUCCGCAGGCUUGUCCAAAAUUAAUUGACAGGUUUAAAGAGAGGGAGGAAAAUGUCAAGGUAAACCAGAAUGAAUGUCAUUGGAUCUUCUCAUUAAGCUUCACGGGAUUAAUUAUCUGAUAUUAUUUUGUUGCAGAUGGAUGUUUUCAAUACAUUCAUUGAACUGUUGCAGCAGACUGGAAAUGUUACAAAAGGACAGAUUGAGAUAAAUGAACAGAGGUAACUUAGUUGUAAACUUGUAAUGUUAUCUGAGUGUCAAAGUACAUGCAGUUUGUUUUCUCUUUUGCCUCUUAUCUAGCAUUUGCUCGGUUGAGUGUGGUUUUUUAAAUCUUAGAUUCUUAACUAGGGAAUUGAACUUGUCCUAGUUCUGAGUUAUUAGAUGCCUCUGCUAAAUUAUUGGCAUGUUUUACAGUCCAAGAUGGUUAUUGAAGCAAGAAGUGCCAAAGAUUGUCAGAUCUAUAAAUAGGCAGCUACGUGAGAAAUCUAUCAAGACAAAGGUAGGAUUUUUUAAGUAUCUUUUGGAUUGUCCGUUGUGGGAAUGUUAUGAACUAUAACAUUUAUCUAUUUUCAGGUUGGCACGUUUUCUGUUUUGAAAGAGCUUGUAGUGGUCUUGCCAGAUUGCCUGGCUGAUCACAUUGGUUCACUCAUUCCAGGAAUUGAAAAGGCAUUAAGUGUAAGUAAAAUUGUCUCAAAUUGGAAGUGUAUUUUGAACUAAUAUAAAUUUUUUUUUUCUGAUGCCGACAUUUGUUCCCUUUUCUUUUUUGGGGGGUUCCUUUUAAUUUUUUCUAGGAUAAGUCUUCUACCUCCAAUUUGAAGAUUGAAGCUCUUAUAUUUGCACGAUUGGUGCUGGCUUCACACUCUCCUUCUGUUUUCCAUCCUUAUAUCGAGGUAAGUGCAGUAACUCGUACGAAUAUGCUAUGUUAUGAAUACGCUGAUAUGAUAUCGAGAAAUAGACCACAAGUUUCUUAUUUUAAAAAAAAAGUGAAGUAGACCACAAGUUGCAUUUGGUGUGGGGACGUUAUAAAAUAUAAACUCAUAUUCUUGCAGGCUCUUUCUAGUCCUGUUUUAUCUGCUGUGGGAGAGCGUUAUUACAAAGUCACAGCUGAGGCAUUAAGGGUGUGUGGGGAACUUGUCCGUGUCGUUCGGCCGAAUAUUGAGGUAAAUUAGUUGGCAAUCUUAUUCUUGUGGCGCAAUUAAACCAUUCUCUACUUAUAUGAUUUGGUUUUUCCAUGUAGGGGGAUGGUUUUGAUUUCAAACCUUAUGUUCAUCCAAUAUAUAAUGCCAUAAUGUCACGCUUGACAAACCAAGAUCAAGAUCAGGUCAGUAAAAUUUCUUAAAUUUUACUUUAUAUUUACUUCUUAAUUGUUUUUGUCUGUAUUGUGGCUCAUGCCUCUUCUUAUGCAGGAGGUAAAGGAAUGUGCUAUAUCUUGCAUGGGUCUAGUUGUGUCAACAUUUGGUGAUAACCUUGAUGUUGAACUACCUGUAUGCCUUCCUGUACUGGUUGAUCGGAUGGGAAAUGAGAUCACUCGACUUACAGCUGUGAAGGUAUUUCUUUUGCUCAUUUUUGUGACUGGGUGUGACUGUUCGUUUGCCAUCUGUAUGCUGAUGUCUAUUUUUUGGCCUUUCUUUUCUGAAGAUAUACAUUUGGGACUCCGUAUUAUUAUGUACAUGUGUUAAGUUUCUAAGACCUUAAGUGUUUUGCAUCCAGGCAUUUGCUGUCAUUGCUGCUUCUCCACUGAAAAUAGAUCUAUCAUGUGUGUUGGAGCAAGUGAUUGCAGAGUUGACUGCAUUCUUAAGGAAGGUAUGGAAAUUUUCUUAAUUUGUUGUUGAAUUCAUAACCUUUUUUACAAAAUGUUUUAUGAGAUUUUUCUUAGAAUCGCUCAAAGACCUAUGAAAUUAAUCUUAAUAUUCUUUGCCUUUGUGGAAAUCAGGCUAAUCGGCCUCUAAGACAGGCAACAUUGGGGACCCUGAAUUCCCUAAUUGUUGCUUAUGGAGAUAAAAUUGGCUCAUCUGCUUAUGAAGUUAUUAUUGUAGAACUUGCCACACUGAUAAGGUUUCUCUUGCUACUUCCACCAAUUUUAUUUUGUUCUUUUCAAAUUUUUGUGUGAUUGGUGGUUGGGUGGUUUAGUUUCUGAACCCUAGUGUCUAUCUAAUACCCAUUUCCAGUGAUUCGGACUUGCAUAUGACGGCCCUCGCCCUGGAACUCUGCUGCACCUUGAUGGCAGACAGGUCAAGCCCGGUUGUUGGUUUGGCUGUUAGAAACAAAGUUCUUCCGCAAGCACUAACGUUAAUUAAGAGCUCAUUGCUGCAGGGGCAAGCCCUUUUGGUAAUUUUAUCUAUCUAACUGGUGUUUUGUCUUGAUCUACAAACUUUGCACAUGUUUGAGAACAUUCUUUGUUGGAUAUUGCAGGCUUUGCAAAACUUUUUUGCUUCCUUGGUGUAUUCUGCAAACACAAGUUUUGAUACCUUACUAGACUCUCUGCUAUCAAGUGCUAAACCAUCUCCCCAGUCAGGUGGGGUUGCAAAACAAGCUUUGUAUUCAAUAGCUCAAUGUGUGGCUGUCCUUUGCCUUGCUGCUGGUGAUCAGCAAUGUUCAUCUACCGUGAACAUGCUAACUGAAAUUCUCAAAGAUGACAGCAGUACAAAUUCAGUAAGUUCCCCCCUCCCAAAAGAAAACAACUCAGUUAGGGUUAUCUUCACAGAUUACAGUGUUUUGGUUUUUGUAAGCAAAUAGGGAUGGACUAAUUAACUUUUCACGAUUUAUUAUUAUUUGGUAAUCUUAAAAAAUGAAGGCAAUUUGGUGGUAGGCAAACUCUCGUUAUAAAUUUGGGGUAGAUUGAUUGAAUCUAGUUGAUUUAUUGUUUUUUUUUUUGUUAAUGUAUAACUUUUAUUUGAGCCCAGUAUAAUUGCUUUCUUCAUAUGAUAUAGGCUAAGCAGCACCUUGCUUUGCUGUGUCUCGGGGAGAUUGGAAGGAGGAAAGAUCUAAGCUCCCAUGACCAUAUAGAGAAUAUUGUCAUUGAGUCCUUUCAAUCUCCUUUUGAAGAGAUUAAAUCUGCAGCCUCCUACGCUCUUGGCAAUAUUGCUGUUGGUAACCUGCUCAAGUAUUUGCCUUUUAUUUUGGACCAGAUUGACAAUCAACAGAAAAAACAGUAUCUCUUGCUUCAUUCUCUGAAGGAGGUGCAUUCUUCUGAACUUUAAGAGCCUGAUUUUGUUUCCUGAAAUGUUUUUUCUGUUGGGUUUAAGUUUAUUUCAACCAUUUUUCAGGUCAUAGUAAGGCAGUCUGUCGAUAAAGCAGAGUUUCAGGAUUCGAGUGUUGAGAAGAUACUUAAUUUACUUUUUAAUCACUGUGAAAGCGAGGAAGAAGGCGUUCGCAAUGUAGUAGCUGAAUGUCUGGGUAAAAUUGCACUUAUUGAACCUGCAAAACUUGUUCCUGCACUUAAGGUAUCUGGUCAAAUGACCCUGUGCCUUCUCCAUAAGAUUAUGAGUUGAGAUUAUUUGAUGGGUUGCAUAUCUAUGUUUCUAAUCCUAAUUCCCUAUAGGUGCGAACAACCAGCCCAGCUGCUUUCACAAGAGCUACUGUUGUCAUUGCAGUUAAAUAUUCAGUAGUUGAGAGGCCAGAGAAGAUAGAUGAGAUUUUAUAUCCUGAAAUCUCAUCAUUCCUGAUGCUUAUUAAGGAUGAUGACCGGGUAAGUCUCAGAUUUCUAGUGCUUGAUAAACUAAGUGUUUGGGUUUAUGCCAUCUUUUUUGUUUUUUCCCCCCUUGAUUGUUUCUCUUUUCAGUAUUGUUUUAUGUUCUAGGUUGGUUGACUUUGUGGUGACUGAUUUGCUAUGACUCCAUGCAGCAUGUUAGGCGUGCGGCUGUGUUGGCUUUAAGUACAUUUGCCCACAAUAAGCCAAACCUGAUUAAGGGGCUUCUUCCAGAGCUGUUGCCACUUCUUUAUGACCAAACUGUCAUCAAGGUUGGUGGAGUGUUUUGAAGUUUAUCUCUAUGUUACACAGUUGAUGCAUGUAUGAUAUAGAGUGCCUUUACAGAAUAUAGGACAUUCAUGGUAUUAAUACUGCUGUGCUCCAUGUUUUACGCGACACCACCUUCUAUCAUUCGUUAAUUUGUUUCCUGUGUUAUUCUUGAGUUGUUAUCUUAUUUAACAUGAAAAUUCUGGGUGCAGAAAGAAUUGAUCAGGACAGUUGAUCUUGGCCCUUUUAAGCACAUUGUGGAUGAUGGGCUUGAGUUAAGGAAGGCUGCAUUUGAAUGUGUGGACACAUUGCUGGACAGUUGUCUUGAUCAAGUGAACCCUUCAUCUUUUAUUGUUCCUUAUCUUAGAUCUGGUUUGGACGGUGAGUUUAGUUUUGGUUUAUGCAAAUUUGAAGAUGUAUGGUUAACAUGUGGUGCUUGUUAAAUUUAUUACCUUCCUAACUGAAUUGGAUUUUGCUUUUCCAGAUCAUUAUGAUGUUAAGAUGCCUUGUCAUCUUAUCCUCUCAAAGCUUGCGGACAAGUGUCCAUCUGCUGUUCUGGCCGGUCAGUUAAUUUACUGAUCUCACCCCCCCCCCCCCCCCCCCCCCCCCCCCCCCCAAUAUUCGGAUCGUCUGCAGUAUAUUAUGUAAUGUAAAAUUUUCUCUCCUUCAGUGCUGGACUCAUUGGUGGAUCCUCUCCAAAAAACUAUUAACUUUAAGCCAAAGCAAGAUGCUGUCAAGCAAGAAGUAGAUCGCAAUGAAGAUAUGAUUCGCAGCGCUCUUAGAGCAAUUGCAUCCUUGCAUCGUAUAAGGUUUCACCCUUUGCCUUUUAUCUAUGUCCUGAUGUAGGUUCUGCGUGAAAUUCUUGUGUGCAUUUGUUCGUCUUCUAUAGACUGGAGUGAUUAAGUAAAACAGAAAUAACUGUGGUCCUUGGCUAGGUGGUAAAGAGGUUGGAUUGAAUUAGGGCUUUGGAUUAGUCAGACCUCCUUUCCCCAGUAUUUUGCUUUCCUUUGCGUGCAUGUGUUUAUUUUGACAUUGAUGAAUCUUCUACUGCUUUGUUAUAUUUGUUUAUCCUGCAGUGGUGGAGAUUGCAGCCUUAAGUUCAAGAACCUUAUGAAUGAAAUCUCAAAAUCUCCAACACUCUCGGACAAGUAUUAUUCCAUCCGAAAUGAAUGAUGGACUUGUUGGAACUCGCCUGUCUUGCUGUCAUGUCAAGGUCGUACGCAGCGAACGAGAAAGAUUGUAUCAUUAUUUUGACAUGUGCGGGCUAAGCUUUUCUGCGGCAGAUUACAAGAUAGAAAGGUUGUAGCCCCCAUCCAUAUAUACGUGUUGUAAGGUGGGAUAGUAAGUUGAAAAUGUGAAGUUUAUAAUUCAAAGCUGCAUGCUGCAUGAACACAUGUUCUUAUCGUGGGAAUACCAGUUAUGGUGUCUUUCUUGUAUAGGUUCAAGUCAUUGCGUCGUUUUUGCCUUUGCAACCAACCAUCAUUUGGUUUGGUUACAUGAUAAUGUCACGAGCAGCAAACAAGUUUACUACUACAGAAACACAUGUAUUGCUGAACAGAACAGAUAUAGGGUGUGGAAUCAACGAGAUUUUUGUCAUUGAAUGUUUUAUUUUUGAAUUUACGUCUCAUUAAGUCAUCCAUUAUAUGCGUACAGUUGACGAAGCUAAUUUUUGAAUUUGUAAAUCUUAUCUUAUCUUAUCUUUUCUUUUCUUUUCUUUAAUCAGGUUGUACGUUUGGCCUUGGUAUGCAAUUUUUGCAGGCUUGAGUGAAAAUUCUUUCCCCAAUGGGAGAGAUCCUGUUUGCAAUUUGACUUUCCAGAGAAAACAUAUCACAAUAACACCGUAAUUCGAAAAUUCUAAAAAUUAAACGUACAUUUGAACCUUGAAACAAUGCAUGCAAACUGGUUUGCAAUUUGGAUUAGCGCUCCAUUAAUAUGAUAUUAGCAGUGGUAGUAGUAGUAGGCUGAAGGACCACAUUGUUAAGUGCAUCAAAAUUGUAGAUUAAUGAUGGGGAUAUGGCAUGAGGGGCGGGGGCGCAUGGAUCCCUAUAUAUAUAUUGCAUGUGCAAUUGCCUUAAUCUUUGCAUCAUUGCAUGUUGUAUUAGAACGAUUGGGCAAAACUAAAAUGGCACGAGAAAGAAAUGAACAAAGAAGACACAAUUGGUCAUCUUUCUUGGCUCCCACGUGAUCCCAAGAGCCCCAUUAACCUAAAAUAGGAUGAUGAUGCCUAUUUUUACCAAUAAUUAAAUUUCGCUCCCUCUUUAGUCUAUGCCUUAUUGACAUAUCCCGAGAAUAGGCAUUGCAAUUGGGAUGAGAAUGUCGUUAUUUUAACCAUUAACCAUUAUUUUCCCCCAUCUUUAAGUGUUGCUUAAGCUUUCUAAGGCGUUGUUUAUACAAUCCAACACAAAAUUAAGAUAUCAAUUCGAUUCAACAAUACAAAAAGAACGAGAGAGAAGGAUACUCGUUAUAAAAGUCGUCUCAUGCGUACACAAGAACCGCAUAUAAUAUAAGUAGGCAAAGAGAUGGAAUCUCACAAGCUAUCAAGAGAAUAUUAUUUUUGGAAAUACCCCCGUUCCUAAUUAUAAACGGAAUGGACAAAUCCAGGAGCUUUAUUACAUAUAGUAAAGCCCAUUUGGGCAAGUGUCUCAGUUCUAGUUGCGACCUUCCUCAAGUAGUAAUAAAAGUACACUGGCGUUCUCAUUAGCUUUCCUAUUUAAGCAACUCUUCCUUCUUUUGUAUUAUUCUGAGCAGUAAGUAACUCUUCCUUCUUUUGUAUUACAGAGAGAAGAGAAGCCGCCUUUACUGUGACUUUGUGUUAUGUUCAUCAUCUUCUUCUCUGACCUUUUUGUUUCACGUUCGGAUUCCUCUUCUUUGUUUUGUAGAAUAAAAAUCUACUAAUGCAAUGCAAGAGAUAAACAUAAACCCCAUGCAUAUAAAUCAUCAAAUGUUGGUCGAAAAUGGCUUUGCUUAUAUCCAUAUAUAUAAUUUUCUUGUACAGGUAGCAUUGACUAAAGAUUUGAGUUCUCAUGGAGGAAAUGCCAGGGACAGUUAGGCCAGGCAGAUCAGUCUCCUUUAAAACCCAGCACCAAUCAACUAACACAGUGAGUCUAAAGCCAGCAUAUAGACUUUUAUCUUGAAAAGUUUAAAUAACAAACAAGAGAAAUUGACUUCCCAAUUAUACUGUUGAUUAGAAUGGGAAGCUGGAGUCUUGGCACAGAACAGAACAAUGCUUACAGAGAAAACAAAAAACGUUGUCUUCUUCUUCUCGCUGCAGCUCUUCGGAGAUUCCACAGAUCCCCGUCCAUGCCAUGGAGUUUUUAUGUCGCUCAUGGAGCCCAUCAGCCUAUAACUUUCAGCAGAUGUUUACAUCAAGUGUGAGAGAGUCUUCAAAUUCUUGGCACUUUGCAUGUAUCAUGUAUAUCUUGUCUUCAAGUUCAUAUAAAUAUGACGUUAAUUUUUACAGGACUUGUUUGGUUCACAUGACAACUGGACCUCAGGGAAACAGGAAGACACGUUCAAUUCAGGGGAACCAGAAGAGAAACUGGAGAUACAAGUCAUAGAUGAGUUGCCAUCCCAAACUAGUACUAGAAGCCCUAUGAUCAGUAGGGUGGAUGACACGAUAUGGGUAAUUAGUUCUCUCUCUCUCUCUCUCUCUCUCUCUCUCUCUCUCUCUCUCACACACACACACACACACACACACACACACAUGUGCACUUCAAAAUGACCCGUCUAAUUAGGAAAUCUCUCUCUCUCUCUCUCUCUCUCUCACAGAUGAACUCCAAGCACACAAAGGGAUGGUUAGGAGGCAAAUCCUUAAUAAGCAUAUUCGGACUGCAGAGAGUGAAGAAGAAAGAUGAUAUUCGACUUCACACAGCAAGCGUUCAUGCAGCCCUUUCUGUCACACGCUUGGCUGCAGCUAUUGCCAGCGUUGCUUCCAACUGCAAGAACAGCAGCAUAGAAUCAGCGGAAGACGUCGACCCCAUUACAGGUGACAUCGUUGCUUCUGCCGCAGCUCUGGUUACCACGGUAUGUGCUGAAGCCGCAGAGUCAUUGGGUGCACAGAAAACAAAUGUUUCUUCUGCCAUCAACUCCGGCUUGGCUAUCCAAACAACCGACGACAUGAUCACACUUACAGCUGCUGCUGCAACAUGUAAUGUUUUGAUCAAUGUUUCCUUCACCAUAAUCUUCAGAUAACCCCUCCUCUCUCUUUUUCUCCCAUAAAAGACACACGUUAACUAACUCGAUGACAAGUUGCCAGGUUUAAGAGGAGUUGCAGCGCUCAAAGCAAGAGCUACGGGCAAUGCCUACUUUCCAAGAAGCCAAAAUUUGCUUCAAGUAAAAGCCGAGCUAUCAGUUGUCACUCCUUCUGGUAAAAGAAAAUGCAAGGACAGAUUUUUAAUAUAACACCUUUGCUUUUGCUGUUAUAUGAAAAAAUAAAGAUAGAUUCUUGUUUGUGCAAGCAGGAAGCAGAACAUACGGGUGGGCCUGCAUAUAUUCAAAGCAUAGUCAGCUCAUGCUUAGCCUCCAAAAGAAGCAUCUGGGAUUCUUAGCCACAAGAAAGGAAUGUAAGAUCAAAGGCUUCUGAUUUUGUUUUCCUGUUUCUUUCCCCUGAACUACGCUUUUAAUUAUUUAUUAGAAUUGUGAAGUAAAACUUAACGCUUUGCAGACAAGAUUUUGCACGUGAUGGAGGGAACCCAGGAAGCUCAGGGUCAGGGCAACCUUUCAAUCAGCCUAAGGAGCAACAAUGGAAAUAUCAAGCUCUUGUUUAAAGAUGAAACUCAGUCUUUAGUUUGGACGUCAAGCAUCUCUAGUCUCUUACAGAUGCAUAAUUGAUGUCAUGUAAACCUAACCUAUACAGGCUUAUAGCUUUUAAUAAUCAAACUCGUCAAUGCAUAAUGCUGGUGUUUGUUAUAUACAUCAAUUUCAUGUGCAUAAUGCCGGUGUUUAUUUCUUGCUUGAUUUCAUGUGCAUUCGUCUUAUAGAUCAAUCAUCACACGACAUACCUUCUUCUCAACAAAAAUGAUACCAAGCUCAAAAUGGCAAUAAACAACAAUACACUGCAACAAAAGCAGAUUCUUGGAGUAUACAAACAGAGAUACGAGAUUCUCCUCUAAAAACAUGACUUCAAAAUACGCAAGUAAAAGAUUUCAUGAGCUUUUCUGCACUGUAUAUCUGCAUUUGUGUUUGACCGGUUUCUUUUCGUUGCUCGAUACUGACAGAGUAACUACAUUGACAUAGCUAAAUCCAUGCUACACAACCUUUACGACCCUUGGCCAAAAGGAAGAGAGUAGCUUGCUGCCCAAUAAUACAGAAAAUUGAAGUAAUAAGAGCACAGUAAAUUUAAUUUUCUUUCUCAAGACAUACCAAUUUUCUCGCUUAAAACUGCCACAAGGAGCACCAAAACUUUUGCUGAUCACUCAUACUAACUUGAUUCACUGCAGACCAUAAGAAGAACUGCCUAUCAAUAUAAAGAUUUUUUUCGUCAUCAGCAAAAAGGCCAUGUAUUUUGUUUCUCAACCUUCCUAUAGUAAAGCAAACGAUAUACAAAUGGCAUGAUUGAACAAUUCUUACUUCCAAAAUACAGGAGGCAUAAUUUACAAGAAGAUGAAAACCAAGAAUAAGACUUUAUAUCAGCAGAAAUGAAAUGUAAAAACUCUUGCGUUUUCUCUAUGUAUGUAAUCUAAAAGUCUACCAGGCGUGAUCUUCCACACAACUUGGGUAUCUCCUCAUUUCUCUUCAAACUCAACAUCAAUAAUCUCCGGUUCUGAUUUCGACGAAGACGGACCUCUACCAUCUCUUGAAAAGAAGUCCCCUUUUGGCUGCCACACAGUGUUUCCGCAGCUUGCACAACGAAUUACUUGGUUCUUGUAACCAACAAAUUGCCUCUUGCAAGCUGGACAAGCCCCCUGUACAAAUUUGGUGCAACAAACACAAUUAGCCCUAUAAAGAACUAUCUGAUUGGUAACAUUACAAAGUUGAAUUGCCAUAAAACUCACUCAGUUUAGUUGCAGACUUCGCAGCUAGUAUAAUUAUGAAAUAUGAUGAGACAUACCCAGUAACACUAACACAAACAUUAACAUAUUCAACUUGUAGCAGCAGGCAGCUAGUAAUACCUUAAUAACAAGGUUAUUGGCAACCGCUCCAAUGACCAGAGGAGCAGCAAAUGGCAGUACCCAUGUAGCGAAUAUCAAUAACCGAAAAAGCCAUCCGGAUAAUGCAAACCACAGGAAGAAGAUUGUCUUCAAAAUCAUUCAAAAAAUAAAAAUUAGUUGAAUUAGUUGAACAUAAACUGAAGACCAUAACACAAUUGUAGCAAAUGUUAACUUACCGCAAAACUUCUUCCCAAUGGGGUUUCCAGGAAAUCAUUAAGCUGCUUCCUGUACUGCACAAAUUGCAAACACCAACCAAACAAGAACUCAGUAAACACAACACCACGUCGUAUCCAUAUACAUAAUAGAGCAAAAUGGUAAAAGCGAUAGAACAAACCCUAGGCAAAUUUCUGCUAAAAUCCAUGCUAAAGGCGCGCCAGCGAGUCCCAAUCUCGAGGUCUCUGUCAAUUUCACGGGCGCGAGCGGCGGCGGACUGAGCGAUGGUGUCGAAGCGGUGCGAAAGGGCGUAUCGGCGGUCCAAGCGCUCCGCCGUCUUCUUGGCCUCGAAUAGGAACCGCUCGAAUCCGUCGUUGGCGCUCCGCCACGCGUCCCUCGCGAAGCUUCCGAUGUCGCUUCGCCCGAAGGCCCGGAUGUUCGACACCUGGCGGGGCCCCAUUGGGAUUGUGCCUCUGCUGUUGUUGGGCCUUCUCGCCCUCCAUGGAAGUGGUGCUACUGCUUGAGGGCAACGAAGAGUUGUGGCCAUUCUGAGAUGAUGGACUACGUUUGAAGAAAGAUAGAAAGAGCCUCUCGAAGCACUUCUACUUCAACUGCACUGUGAGCUUCGUCUUUGUACGGUUUGGCUGAGCAAGCUCCAAGCCUACAACGUCGAUCAAUUUUCUUCUUCCGAAAUUCACUCAAAUACAACACGACACUCGACUCUAUCUGGAAAAUCUAUAAUAACGACAUGCCGUUUAUUUAUAAUCAGCCACAAAUAGAACGACAUAUCGUUUUUAUUUAUCUCUUUCUCUUCACGUAUGAAUUACUAAUUAGGCUGUGGGGUGAGAGUUUAUCAGUGAGACUGAGAUUGAAACUUUGGCGGGGGGUGCUAGGGCAUAUUUCGGCUGAUCCAAAUCAAAUCGAUAUUUCAAUUUCGUCCUUGUAAUUCCUCUUGGGUUGCCAUGGAAACCCCCAAAAUUGACCCGCCUUUGAUUCUCGAUCGUACCUCUCGCGCCACCAGAGGGAAGAGGUAACUAAAGUUCAAUAACUGGGUUAAUGAAUUCGAUUGAUUUGAGGUUCAAGCAUUUUUUUUCGUUUUACGAUUUUCAGAAUGACCAAAUUACUUGAUGAGGAAAUCGAAGAGGACGAGAUGUUCUGGAAUCAGGAGGCUCUUAAAGAGGUGUGUUUUACUGUAACCUCUUCUUUCGUGCAUGAACAAAAAAAAGUCUGAAUUUAGUCAAAUAUUUAUAGUUACCCUUAUGAAUUUUAUAUUCUGGUAGGAUGAAGAGGAUGGUAACUAUGAAGCAGAGCCUGAGGUUGCAGACGAGUUUGAUAGUGACUUCGACGAAGAUGUGAGUUUUUUUCUUGGAUUGUUCACUUCAAAUGUUAGUUUCCUACCAGUUCUAUCUUGCUUAGACUUGCUUAAAUUGUUGGUAGGAGCCAGACCCGGACGAAGGAGUAGAAAACAACGAGGCAGAGGAAAGGUUGAGUUUUGCUUACCCCAAUGACAUUUAGAUUUCUUUUACUCAGAAUUUAGUUAAAUUCAAUGAAUUAUAAUUACAGAGUUCGGACAAAGAAGCGGUUGAUAUUUCCGGGAAAGCAAUCAAGCAAGAAGAAGAAGAAGAAGAAAGUGCUAACGGAAUUAGAGAAAGAAUCUAAGGAUGAAAAUGAGAAAUCUUCCCAACCUGAACAGCAUCACGAUGCUCCUGAGGAAGGAGAAGGAGAGAGAAUCGUGAGAAAAUCUUCAAGAACUUCAGUGAUUAUCAGGCAAGCCGAGAGGGAUGCAAUACGUGCGGCUUUGCAAGCAACCAUGAAGGUCAGUUUUCAAUAGCAUUUGAUGUUGAAUCUACUCCAAAUUCUGAUUACAGACCGGUGGUAUUUGUUUGUGAGAUCAUUGCGUUGAUUAACAUAUCAUACUAUUUUUAAUGAAUAUAAAUUUUCUUUUGCACUAGCCGAUAAAGAGAAAAAAGGAAGGCGAGGAGAAGAGGAUGACCCAAGAAGAGAUGCUUUUAGAAGCAGCUCAAACAGGUUUGUACUUUAAGCCUCAAUAUUCGUAAUUAGUAUGUGAUUUGAAUUGCUGGGUACUUAUUUAUAUUUACUUGAAAUUGAAGCUGGCUGUAUCUAAACUUGAAUUGUUACCUGCAAAACUUCAGAAAUUAUGAACUUGAGGAAUUUGGAGCGUGUUCUAGCAAGGGAGGAAGAAGUUAAGAAAAGAGCAAUUGUGCACAAAGCUGUCUAUACUGGCCCGCAAGUACGAUAUUUCUCAAAAGAUGGUAUGCUUUCAGCUUUACAAUAUUCUGAUCUUUUCAUUUUCUUUUUUGAAAAAUAUAUACUGUUAGUAUACACAAAUUUGAUCAUUGUGGCAAUAUCAUUCUCUGAUAAAGAAAUUUCUAAACUACAUUUCUUUAGGUUGCUCAUAUCUGGAAUUCAGUAGAGGAUUAUCAUUUCAGUCUGAAAUCUCUACCACGACUGCUCCCUGUAAGUGAUAGUUUAGAUGAAUGUGUCGCUCAGGGAUUUAUUUUUUAUUUUUUAUGUUUUAUGUUUCAUAACAAUGUUUUUUAUGUUUUUUUUUUUUUAAAUUUCCAGACCCUGAGAAAGCUGUUUGUGCAGUUACUGGUUUACCUGCCAAGUAAGUGCCUAUAUUUGAUGUCAUGGUUUCUGCUGUGUGUGUGUGGGUGUGCUUGCGUGUGUGAGCAUGUGUGUGUGUGUGUGUGUGUGUGUGUGUGUGUGUGUGUGCGUGCGUGUGUGUGCGUGUGUGUGUGUGUGAGAGAGAGAGAUUGAAAAGAUUGAUUGUUAGUUGUUAGUGUAUCACGGCAAUUGUCCACCUCUUACAUAAUGCACUAAUAAGCAUGCUGUUUGAUGAAUGAAUGUGUGGUGCUAGGUAAAUGAUGAUAAAUGUUAGAGCAGUUCUGAGUGGCCAUGGAGAGUGUGAGGAUUGAUGGUGUUGGAAACAUACAAUUAUUUAGGUUAAGCUGGCCAUCUUGUAUAAUACGUCCACUUAAUGAAUUUAUUUGAUGUUGCAGGUACCGUGAUCCAAAGACAGGGCUACCUUAUGCAACAAAAGAAGCUUUUAAAAUUAUUCGCCAGCGGUAUGGUUUUCCAUGUAUGAGAGUUAAUUGUGUGACACUAAUGGGCUUUUUCUCUUUACAAGGCGUUAGUUUCUGUCUUGUGAUUUUAAUAUCCUGCUCUUCAGUUAUGUUUGACAUCCAAUUUAGAUUCGUUUACAAUUUUGUUGUUCUUGAUUUUCAGGUUUCUACUUGAAAGUGGUCGGGUCAGGAAAGAGAUGGACCUGGGAGAUUUGCACGAUUCACUUUCUGGGAAAGGGUUUUUGGCAAGGCGGAAGAGAUCAGUGUCGUCAAAUAAAAUUGAUGUGUCGUAUUCACGUUACUUUGCACGUUUCCGCAGAAUUCCGGCCCUUGAAAGUGAAUCUUCUGAUUAACUUCCAUGGUAAUCUGAAGAGUUGUUUGCUGCGUGCAUUUUUAGAAAAGGAAGAAACGUUAUGUACUUUUUGGGCGGAGGCCUAAUUAUUAAAAUACAAACAAGGAUCUUAUUUGUCAUCUUCACGAGGAAAGCGAUAAAAGCUCUAGGAAGAAGGCGGCUUGCAGACUAUAGCAUUAUCCUGUUGUGUGUAAGUAUUUCAAUUGUAGUAAAUUGCAAGAAACUUGUUGACUUAUCUUAAUUUGAGAUAUAUGAUUGAAUUUGUGUGCAUUUAGUUUGGCAGUAGUGUUCCAUGCUGCCAUGGUGCAAUCCAAGACUCGAUCAUGCUUGCAGGGAACGCCCGUGUCCAAAAACCACUGUGUUAUAAUGAAGAGCGUAUGACUUGCAACAGGAGGAAAGCCUGGGUCCUAGCAUAUCCAAGACAUUACUAUUAUGUAAUUAAAGUAAUUGUUAGAUGUCACGUUGAUCAUUGAAAGCUCUUUUCUGAGUGUAUUUUGUUGCUGACAUAUGCCGCGCAACAGAGAAUUUUGUCCAGUUUUGGCUUUCUAUUAAUCUGGUCAUUUCAAUUUUCUGAGAGGGAAGAAGUUGGUUUUUAUAUCAUUUUAUGAAUUAAUUUUUCUGAGCGGGAUAAGCUGAUCAUAAACAUUUUCUGGCCAAAAAUAAAAAGAUAUUCACUUUUCUGGUAACAUUUCUUCAAUCAGUGUGUAGUCUAUAUUAUACUGCUUUAAUCCAAAAUAAUAAAACCAUUCAAGUAUUGAAAAAAAAUUAUAUAUAACUGGAAUUAGAAGCUACUUGUAAACGAAGAAAAGACCCGCUUUUGGUUUGACGGACCCACCCGCCCCAACGCUUCAUCUCCCGCCUAUAUCUAUCUACUACUUUACUGUACCUGAUGCGAACGAACCCCUUGAGUUGAGAAGAAAAAUAAGAGAAAAGCCCUAAAGGGAAGGCGGUGCCCAGAGAGAGAGAGAGAGAGAGAGAGAGAGAGAGAGAGAGAGAGCUUCAAUGGUUGGCUCCAAUUUCAAGAUUGGCGACGAGGUGGAGGUGACCAGUCCAAUCCACAAUAUGCGUGGCACUCUGUUCCCGGCAAAAAUCAUCGGCAAGUCGAGAGAUAAAACCAAGUUGAAAGUUGAAUAUAACAAAGUGAAGGCCAAGAUUGAUGGCAAUCUAGGCAGGAGGAAGAGGCACCAGCAGCGCAACGAGGUGGAGGAAGAGGUGGACGUGGCGCUCAUAAGGCCCUUGCCGCCCGAAGAAAGUAAGUACUGCUGCUUCAAGUUAGGCGACGUCGUUGAUGCCUUCUUCUGUGGCGGGUGGUGGGAGGGAGUCAUCACUGAUGUUAUGAAGGACUCGACGUUUGGGAUUUAUUUUCGGUUUGCCAAGGAGGAGUUUGAGUUUGAGUCGGAGGAGCUCAGGCUUCACCGGGAGUGGGUCAAGGGCUCUUGGCUUCCACCUCUUCAACAAGGCGUAAGUAAUGAAUCGCCUUUUUCUUGAUUGCCUUUUUUUUUUUUUUUUUUUUCUUGGUGUGCCAUUAUUCAAUUCAAGCGAUAAUAUUAAUAUUGCGGUUUUCUGUGAUGAUUUGCCCUCCAUGAUUGUUUUGUUACCGGAUAGGAGAUAUGAGAAGCAUUUGGUUUUAGUUUUGGUUUAAAGCCCGAAGAAUGAAUAACUUUUGUUAUUACGUGCUUUUCCCAUGAUCUAUUUCGUAAUUUGGGUAUGUAUUUUCCUAGUAUGAAAAUUUACGGGUGUUCUGUUCUGUUCUGUUCUGCUUUGAAAUAAUAUAUGCGCAUAUUGUAAAGAGCCUUUUCUUUUCCUUUCUACUUUUUUUUCUUCCAUUUGGCUUGAGCUGGGAAUCGGAGGACCAGUGAUCAGCUGACCUUUGAACUAGUUUCAUGGGACUAUAGUCAGGGGAUAAGGCGAAAAACCAAUAUUAUUGUUAUUGAAUUGUGGAAAACUUGAUCUUAGUCGAGAAUGAUCGACAGAGAAAGAGGUAGUAUAUUCAUGACAGACUUCCUGAAAACCAUGUUUAGUGCCAAAUACCCCGUUAGCUGCUUUGCUAUUCUUUGGGAGAGUAUACGAACCUUGUUUUCCCUCCUAUUUUGCUUGAUCUGUUGGCCAGUCUCCUCCUUCCUUGACAUAUAGCUUAUGUUGGAUUAGAAGAUUGGAUUGCUUGAUUCUGAGAAUGUUUGAAAGAUUUAAGACCGGUCUUUUGCCCUCCUGCAGUUGAGAAAGAGUGGUAGAUUUCUACUUUUUCCUUUGAUUAUUCGUGUUUAAAAAAUAAAAUAAAAAACAAGUCUGAAUCAUAUGAGUUUAAAGGUUGAACAGGUCGAUUUCAUGAACCUUGUCAAAUGCAACCAAGUGUAAAGAAUAUGUUUGUAGGCCUUCUCUUUUGAUUAAGGAAGUUAUAUCAAUGGUUAGACAAUUAUUACAUGUUGUGAAUUAUCUCCAAAUGAGUUUAAAGGUUGAACGGUCAAUUUCAUAAACCUUGUAAGACGCAACCAAAUGUUUCUGAUGUCUUGUUUAAUAGUUGAACAUGUAGAGUGUAUUUGAUAUGAUCAUUUACUUUUUUCAUUAUCUAGUUUUAUCUCCUAUUUUGUGGAUUUCCUCUAUCUUAUUUUAAUUGAAAUGCAAACUCCUCAAAACUUGGACUGCAGGAUGUCUCAACUACCGAGGAACCAAAGCUCUGGAUGAAAGAGGACUUUGUACAAGGAACACAAGUUGAGAUUUGCACUGAUGAAGAUGGAUUUCAAGGUGCUUGGUUUGCUGCAAAUAUUGUCAAAGUAAUGGGGAAGGACAAAUUUCUCAUUCGAUAUAAGAGCAUAAAAACAGAUGAUGGUAAAGAGUUCUUGACAGAAGAGGUCGAUGCACAGCACAUAAGGCCUUGUCCACCUGAAACUGUUGUGGUUGAAAGUUUUAGUCUGAAUGAAGAGGUUGAUGCUUUCUAUAAUGAUGGAUGGUGGGAAGGUGUGAUCCGCAAGGUCCUUCGUGGGCCAAGGUACAGAGUUUACUUCAAAGGUACAAAAGAUGAAUUGCUGUUUGAGCACUCUGAUUUGAGACCACGCCAAGAUUGGAUAGAUAGAACAUGGGUUAUGGCUUCUCAGGUAUAACUUCCAAAAACUUUCCUUACAAUCUGUUAGUCAAGAUGUUCAGCUGAAUAUGUUAGAUCACAAACGAAUUUAGGUUAAAAUAAGAAAAGAAGAAUCUGCCUAGAAGUUUCUUAUAUACUUGUGGCCAAAGUGCGCAAACACCCGGAAUCUAAACAUGUCAAAUUUAGGUAACACUCAGCUGCAUUUUUACAGCUAUCCCGUGGUUGAAGUUAACCAAACCCUUAGUAAUUCAUGACAGUAUGUCUUGUGGACUAACGUAUCAGGAACUAGGGAGUUAUUUGAUGUUUGAACUCUGAACUAAAUUAUGCUUGAUAUUUUCUUCCUUUCCAAGUUUCAGUAAGGUAUCUGGCAAUGAUAACUAUUGUGUAUGGGGGACAACUAAUUUCUUAAGUUAUUUAACAUCCUGAUACCGGCUUGCUGACAACAAUUUUUUUGUCAGGCAUUGAAGCAUUGAGUGCAGAACAAAAGCGAGAUACUAACCACUGAGCAUUUGCAGCAUUAUUUGCACAUUUCAUAUAUGGCACAUUGUCAAUCUGGAAGUUUCAUUGCUGAAAGCAUUUGGUUAGGACAUGUUCUCCAUCCUAUCCAUGUUAAGUGUAAAACUGAUGGUUCUUGGUGUGUUUGGUAUUAGAUUUGGAAGUCCUAUGAAGAAGAAACCUUGAAACAACCAUUUUUUUUCUUUUGUAGUUUUUGAAAGAGAAACAUUAAACUUACUCGUACGUGUUGCUGUUCCAUCUUUGUAAUUAAAUGGGGUUUUGAGUUUGCGGACAGAUUAUGUGAUUUGGGAUUGCACCGUUUCACAUCAUUGAUGAUGUGAAUGAACAGUUGAAGCGGACUUGGAUCCAAAUACUUGAAGGAAACGAAACCACUGCAUAUAGCAACCAAGCAACCUAAACGUCCUGCCUGAUCUACUUUCACGUCUCAUUUUAUGAUAACUGCAUCUAACUGGGAACGGUUAUAGACAAACGCAGCCUUGGGGACAACUCUUUUUGUUAACAGCCUUGUCCCAACUUCGUAACUGAAACAACUGAAGGCAUCGGGCAUUUCUGAAAAGCGAAAUUGAGAUGACAGACUCUGGAUAUUCCAUCAACCAAUGCGAGCAUAGCAUUAACGUACCUUCCUUUUACGCAAUGUGUUGAAGAUAAUAGUCAUGCGGUCAAUGCAAAUGCUUUAGCCUUACAAUUGAAACCAAGUGACAUAAGAUGAACCAAAUUACAAAACCAUCCGCAUUAAUCAAAUAAGAAGCUUUAAUAACCAUAAAAUCUUUAACUUCCACGAAUUUAAGUGACAUUACAAACUCUAAAAUUGUCAUGUCCAGUAAACAGAUCAAAACCUAAAACGAAACACCUUCCAAAACAAAACCAAAUUUUAAGGGCUCAUUUAAAGGGUCCAGGCUCUCUCUACUUCUUCUCUUCCUUCUCAGCCUCUGCUGCCUUCUUAAGCCUGGCACCUACAUGACGUUGGUUCAUCCUUUCCACACGGAGUUUGUCAUAUGCCUUGAAUGAUUUCAAAUCAUCAGUAACCUUCACUAGCUCAACGGAAGGCUUCUCCCGUGCAAUUGGAAGGUAGGAACCUUGGAGCUGGGUGGCAUUAGCAAGUUCCUCUGGGGCAGAAUCACCAGCCUGUGGCAAAAAAAUGAAUACAUACCAGAUGAGAUAUCAUGCAGACAGCAAAUAAACAUUCUUACACUAAUCCAAUCAACCAUUUAACAUCACCUUGAAUUUGCCAGCACGUCUUGGGAAGACAACUAAUUUGGCCUUGUAUGUCUUCAGUCGCUGCACAUUAGCUUGAAGACCCUCAAGAGAACGAUUCUUCCUACGAUGAUCAACUGCGAUCCCAAUGGUUGGUGCAAGUUUCUUUGGUAUCCCAGCAGACUGGUAAAACAUGAUACAAAAAAGCGAGAAACAAGGUUACAUAUUUAUUUUUAUAACACGGCAGCCUGUAAUGAACUUCAAGAAACUCCUAAAAUACAAGCUGGACAAAAUCUACAGUACAUUUUUCAUAAAUUCAAAGUGGAAAACACAGAGCGAGGCAAUGAGCAAAAGUUCAAUGGUCCUUGAUCAAAUAUAUCAGCAAUCCAUAAGAAAUAGCAGAAAUGCCAAAGGUUAUAGCAUUGUGGUAAAACCAAUAAACUUACCUUCAACUCUUCCAAAGUAAAGCCCCUACCAGCCCUAAUUUUCAUGUUAUACUUCAAAGUCUGUCCAUGAACAAUUGGACGGAGAGGUCCAGCAGUUGGGCGAGGGAAGAUUUUGACAGCCUUCUUUUGGCGAGCUGAUGACAUUUCAGAAAUAUUCAAGUCAAAUUAUAAAUUACAUGUAAAACAAAGAAACAAGAGAGGUGAUAGAAAAAAUACUGUUACUCACCAGUUCUUCUCCUGGUCUUCCUGGCAGGUUGGUUAAACCAAGUCUUGACAUAAUUCUGCCAAUGUUUCCUGAAGUGGGAGCUAGGGAUAACGUUGUUGUGCUUCACCAUGGCUCACCUGUAAACUAGUCACCUAAGUCGGAAUUAACUACAAUGUGCACAAAUCAUACAACGAACAAAAAAUGCAAUAUAGAUUCUUCUGAGAGCGCUAAGAACAAAUAAAUACCCAAAAAACAGAUUCAUACAAAUUAUAAUAAAAUAGACGCAUCCUCUAUAUUCUGCCACAGUGCAUAAAAUGCAAGACAUAUGCCAAACAGAUAUAAAGAACAAAUUAAGAAAAAAACUGCACCUUCUAAGAAAUAAUAAACGCUACAGAUCUAAGCAAUAGCUAAUUCAAGUAUACGCUUGAGAACCCAAAAAACACAUUAAACAAAAGCUUGCUUAAAACUCAGAAGCUCAGUUAUGGCUAUCAUUUUUUGUCUUUCAUGGAACGAAAGAAGCAAUUGACAUGAGACGCCGAGUAGUCAUAAAUCUUCUAUAGAAACAAACAGGGGGAAAGAAUAGCGAGGGAAAACCAAACCUGAAAUCGCCGCCGAGGAAAAUGCAGAUGAACCUCCUCUUCCUUUCUCUCUCUCUCGCGGCUGCAAGAAUGACUGUGUGCUCUAGGGUUUCUUGGAUUUUAUAAUGGCUGAUAUGAGUCUAUUUUCGUAUUGGGUCGGCAGUGUUGGGCCUUGUCCUUUCCCACAGUUUCCUUCUUAAAAAUCAACUGGCCAAACUUCGAUCGUAAGUUAACUAAGGCCCAUUAAGGCCCAGCCCAACACAAGAAGAUGGCCCAAAAUUUUAUUUACGUUUUCGUUUUCCUUGCUACCUUUGUUUUUGCUGGUGGUUGUAUUAGCUUUGUCUUUCAAUGAAGUUUCCUUGUUACCUGUGUUCUGGUGUAGCCUAUUAUUUCUGUGUGUAGCCCCAUAGCAUAUUAUAGUAAAAUGCAAGAGUUGCACUAAUUUGAAUUUGAUGGUGGAACCUGUUACCUGUGUUCUGAACUUCUGAACUUCUGGUCUAGCCUAGCCGUUGGAAACAUAAUAAUGGACACCACACCACUGACCAGGGAAACUUUAUCAAACAGGCGAGUUUUCGGUGCUGCUGCUGCCACUUGAGCAAUGAAACAUAUUUUCGAGUCAUCUCAUCUUUUGUCAUAUAAUAAUAGAGUUGUAUUUCACCUAAUUUUUUAUUUAUUUAAUACAAGCGAUAGGAAAUGAGAAAUAAUUUUCCUUGUCUCUUUCUCAAGGGAUGGAAAAUGAAAAAUUCAUUUAUCAUGUUUGGUAAUAGUAGGAAAGUAAUAAGGAAAUACCACUUUAUUUCCUUUCACAUGUUUGGUUUGCAUAGGAAUGUAAAACAAAGUUUGUUUAAUUUUUAAAUUAUGCUCAUAUAAAAUUAAAUUAUUAAAAAAAAAGAAUGCAUUUAAUUAUAUAUUGUAAUUAUAAGUUGUUAAUGGAGACAAAAUUAUCAUUAAAAAUGUGCAUUUAAUAUUUGCUCAUUUUCCCAAACUUUUUCAUGAUGAGGGAAAAGAAAAUCCAACGAGGGAGAAUGGCUUCAUUUUUCCCCAUUUUCUCAUGUGCAAGACAACCAUUUUCCAUGCCAUAACUUACCAAAUAUGAAAAGCAAUUGAUUUGUCAUUUCCAAGCCUCAUUUUCAUUCCCAUGAAUCAAAUGAGGCCUAAAGAGAAUGAGGUAUUAUCCUCAUACACACACGUUGUCAAGAUAUCAUAGAAAUUCGAACUUGAAACUACUGAUGCCAAUGUCACGUCUAGCACACUUGGGUUUGACUUGGGAAGUUUCAAAUGGGCUUGUGAUUGGGCCAGCACACUUGGGUUUGACCUGCAAAGUGGGCCGCCUGAUUGGGUCAGCCUCCAGUGUCAGUCAUCUUAUUCUAAUUCUAAACUCCAUCUUUUUACGCUUUUCACCCCGUUAAUUGUCAAAUUAUAAUCAUCGUCAUUCCACAAAGCAAAAAAGCAGUGCCUGAAGCGCCUUGUACAGCCAAAGAAAAACAAGGCAGAAAAGCAAAGCCUAACCGUUUUGUUAACACAAGGACAUAGAUAGAGAUGCUGAUGCAGUCCAUUUUGGGUCGCAAGUCACCUUCACUUUCAUCUACAGGUGCCUUCACUCCUCUCCCUUUGUUGUGCUCAAGUUGUCUCAAAUACUCUGAUACAUACAAGUUCCAUGGUUCUUUCACUCACUCAAAGCGCAGAAAGGGUGUGAAAGAAGUCAAAUUCAUAGCAUUAACUGAUCAAAACCAUGCAACUACUAACUGCCCAAAUGGUGAGGAACUCUCUGGUGAGUCAUUCAACCAUUUGAUAAGUGAUUUUUGUAGAGCAGGGCAAAUUGACAAGGCCAUGGCUCUUCUUGCUGAAAUGGAAGCUCUUGGGGUUCGACCCAAUUCAAUGUCUUACGCUCAUUUGAUUGACGCUCUUGGAAGUACUGGCAGGACUUCGGAGGCUGAUAUGUUGUUUCAGGAAAUGAUAUCUUUUGGGCUUAGGCCAAGAAUUAAGCUUUACAAUGUUUUGCUCAGAGGGUUUUUGAAGAAAGGCCUCUUAGGACUGGCAAUUAGAGUUUUGGCGGUAAUGGGUGAUUUUGGGGCCGAGAAAAAUCAAGAGACAUAUGAGAUUCUUCUUGAUUACUAUGUCAAUGCUGGGAGGUUGGAAGAUACUUGGUCAAUGAUUAAUGAGAUGAAGCGGAAGAGGUUUCGGCUAAGCUCAUUUGUGUACAGUAAGGUUAUUGGUCUUUACAGGGACAAUGGAAUGUGGAAGAAAGCAAUGGACAUUGUGGGCGAGAUAAGGGAGAAGGGGAUGACAUUAGACAAACAGAUUUACAACAGCGUUAUUGAUACAUUUGGGAAAUAUGGUGAGGUGGAUGAAGCUUUGGAAGUGUUUGUGAAAAUGAAACAAGAAGGUGUAAAGGCUGAUAUAACGACGUUUAAUUCCUUGAUACGGUGGCAUUGUAAGGCUGGUGAUAUAAGUAAGGCACUUGAGUUGUUAACUGAGAUGCAGGAACAGGGGUUAUAUCCUGAUCCAAAGAUCUUUGUCACCGUUAUCAGCCGACUGGGGGAGCAGGGGAAGUGGGAUAUGAUACAGAAGACUUUUGAGAAUAUGAAACGCCGAGGACAUGAGAAAAGUGGGACCAUUUAUGCUGCUUUGGUUGAUAUUUAUGGGCAAUAUGGAAAAUUUAAGGAUGCAGAAGAGUGUAUAUCUGCCCUAAAGGCCGAAGGUCUUAUUCCUUCAGCCAGCAUGUUUUGCGUCUUAGCAAAUGCCUACGCUCAGCAGGUUUUCUGCCCCUUCCAAAUUGUUUUCACUUAAUGCACCGACAUCUGGUCCCAUAAUCUCAUUCUUUUUUCGUUAAUGCAGGGAUUAUGCGGACAGACAGUUAAGGUACUUCAGCUCAUGGAAGCUGAGGGAAUUGAACUGAAUGUCAUAAUGCUGAAUGUGCUGAUGAAUGCAUUCGGUGUUGCUGGUAGACAUUUAGAGGCUUUAUCCAUUUAUCACCAUAUAAAUGAAAGUGUAAGUCUUGUUUUUGCAUAAAACUUGUCUAGUUGCGGGUGAUAACUUUUUCAGAUAUAUUGAAUUUCUUCAACCAAUACAGUUCUCUCAUGGUACUUGCUGCUGAGUUGCUAAUGGUGAUGGUUUUGUUGUUUCUGAAGGGUUUUAGCCCUGAUGUGGUUACGUAUACUACCCUCAUGAAGGCAUGUAUUCGGGCAAGGAAGUUCGAUAAGGUACUAUAUAUUCUUCAUGAACUUUAAAAUUUAAUGCGAGCUAUGAUGAAUAAGAGAGUAGGAAGCUUGAUUUCUAUUCUAAAUCUCUCAAAAUGCAAGUGGUUUCCUGAUCAGGUCCCUGAGGUUUACAAGGAAAUGGAACAUGCUGGAUGCACUCCGGAUAGGAAGGCUAGGCAGAUGUUACAAGUUGCUUUAAUGGUCCUUCAACAGAGGAAUUGUGAGUAGUAGUGAAUGGUUGGGUUGUGAUGCAAUGUGCUUGUUCAAUCUGGUAUGGACACAGGCUAUGAUCCUUUCAGCAGUCAAAAGACGGUGAGUUUUUUUUUUUUUUUUUUUAAUCCUCUCUCUCGUGAAUUUUGUUGUUCACUUUACGUAAUCUCAGGUCUUACGUGAUGGCUGUGCCGCUUUUUUACAAACACUUCAAACCAGAUGGGGUGUUAACUUUCGCCACAUUAAAAUGCACAACUGAUAAAGCAGCAAGAGUUGCACUGAUGAACUGUUGUAAUAUGUUGGAAAGACAACAGCUAAGACUAGCCCCUCUGGUUUAGCGGUUGGAAACAUGGGCAACAGAGCAAGGAAGUGCAACACAAACUCUCACUUCAAAGCACGAGUCAUUUUCGUGGGCUAUCAACUUGGUGCCUGCCUAUGCAGGGCAGCAUUGGUUACGAUGUUAGAAACUUGAUGAUAUAGCUUGUGCUGCAACUCAAACAGGCGCGUUUCCAUACACCGUAGCCGAAUGUAGUGGAACAAUUGGCAUUUCAGAGUGCCAGUUUUUAGUGCUGCUGCCAUACGGGGUACACCGUAGCCGAAUGAAUUAAUUACACUUAUCAUCUCAUCUCAUGUGGUUUGACUCACGUGAAUGUCAAUGAUGAUAUAUAUUUGUGAUAAGUUGGAUAUUUAUUAAAAUUAUUUGAGGAAUUCAUCAACUGAAGCUCUUUGUGUAUUACAUAGUACAUUAGCGUCCUGACAAAUUGUAAGUUUCGCGUAACAUAUGGUUUCAAACUAUUCGGUUUCGGUCCCAUCUACAAUUAAGUUCUUCGAGAAAUCAGAGAUAAUUCCAGUAAGACCAUUGUUUCAAAAAAUACCCUUAUUUGCCUGCAAGGGGGAGACAGUGACAGAUGUUUUUAUCAACAUUAAACUAGUUUUGCGGUUAACUUCAACGACAUUCUCACAUUUACAAAUGUGGCAUCCGAAUGAGAUAAAGAGAAAACGCUAUCACAUAUCAACUUAUUAUUUCCAAGAACUAUACUGGAGCCUAAAAUAGCUUCAGCAAUUGGACUGAUAAGAGUUUCGUAGAGAAACAGAUUUAUUCAGAACCGCAGGAGCUGCUCGGCUGCUUUCUUGAACUCAAUCAAUUCUACUGAUGAACGUGAAAUCAUCACUGUCAACCAAACUUUAAGUUGAGAUUGCAAUUCAAGAACAAAAUACAUUUCAGAGUCCUAGGAUACACACAGAGCGUUACCCUUAUAUGUUUUCUCACACUUUGUUUCAAAUCAAAAUUCGAAAAGUCUGCUUCUUCUAAUAGCUAUUCAAUAUGGAUGUUAACUUGAUAAAUCCUAAAUUCAAAUGAAAAAUUAAGAAUUAGCUGAUAGAUUGAUAAAUCCUCUAUGUCCCUCAUCUCUUGUACGAAUAUGACCAUAGAAACAUUGACUAUAUAAAUAUCAGAGUCAAACAUAAAGCAAGAAAUUGAUCUGAGGAUCAAAGAGAUAACUAAUUUUUCAGUAAUCAAAGAUAUAAACACUCAAUCAGUAAUCUAACCGUCUGCAUAUAUUCGAAUUUAUUAUACAUAAUGAGUAUAGCCGUAUACCAGUUAAAUAUUUGAAUUUAUAUAAUUCAAGCCUAUAGCCGCACGACUAUACUGUUUAAAUAUAUUCGAAUUUAUUAUACGUAUUGAGUAUAGCCGGGCGGCUAUACCCUUAAAAUAUUCGAAUUUAUUAUAAUUCAAGAGCAUAGCCGCCAUUUAAAUAUAUUAGAAUUUAUUAUAUGUAAUGAGUAUAGCCGUGCGGCUAUACUAUUUAAAUAUUCGAAAUUAUUAUUUCCAACGAGUAUGGCCGCCCGGCUAUACCCUUUAAAUAUAUUGGAAUUUAUUAUAUGUAAUGGGUAUAGCCGAGCGGCUAUACUGUUUAAAUAUUUGAAUUUAUUUUUGUUUAACUAGUAUAGCCGGUCGGCUAUACCCUGUAAAUAUAUUCGAAUUUAUUAUACGUAAUGAGUAUAGCCGUCUGGCGAUACCCUUUAAAUAUUCGAAUUUAUUAUUAUUCGAUAGUAUAGCCGCGCGGCUAUACUAUAUAAAUAUAUAUUUUUUCCCUUCCUUUUGUAUUUGAGUGUGAUUGUGUAGUAGUUGUGAGUUAAGUCUCUUUCCCUCUCCCAUAUAUAUUUCUCGAACUCUACACCUAGAAGAAACUAGGAAGGAGAGUUAUGUUUUUGUUGGGGGGUUAAAAAGAGUAAAUACGAGCAAGACUUUUUUUUAGGACAUGGAAAAUUAGAUUCAAAACGCAUUCAUGGAGUGGCCUAACACUUUGGAACACUAAAGUCAAAAAGAGUGACUGAGCAAUAUAAUAGUUGGAAAUCAUUAGAAUGGAAGGUAUCAUAAAGAAUUUAAAUUCUCAUUCCCCAAUAUUGCAUGUAUACAUUAAAAAAAUUGAAGAAAUAACUCAAACAUAUAUUUUCAAGAAAACUAAAUGCAACUUUCAAGCUAUAUGCAUUUUUCCACAUGUUUUUUUUUUUUUUCCCUCUUUCCAUAUUUUAUAUGCAUGUUCCUAUUAAAAAAUUGAGGAAUGGAACUCAAUGGAUUACCUUUGGUUGAAUGUCCUUAUGCUGAAUUGUAUCUUCGGGGCCUGGUUUUGAAAUUGAAGCCCUAGUGGCCUUUGAGCCAUCCGCUCUGCAAAAUAUUCAUAUAACUUGUAAUUACUUAGAUAAAUCCAACAGUUAGGAAGGGAUUAAAGGUCAUGCAUGCUUUUUUGUGGACAAAAAGUAUCCAUUCACAAAAAUUCCAACGAACACCAUAUCAUUAUCAAUACUGUAUAGAAGAAGAAAAAGAAAAAGAAAAGCCAUGAACAGGAAGGUGCUAUGACUGAGUCGGCGUCAUUAUUAGCCAAGGCCUCGAUCGAUUCGAAGAUCAGUAUAAUUAUCUUCGAAUUUUAAAUUAUGAUUAUCUGCUUUAAUUUAACGGCAUCUGCGUGCAUGCCAUUGCUUUCUAAAGGGGUGCAAAACUCUUGAUUUACUGAUUUAGUUGGUUUGUUUACAAUCACAGCCGCGUCCCUGUAUAAAUAAAUAAAAAAAUUAAUCGUGCAUGAACUUUCUAAUUUGAUCAGAACACGAUCAUUACUAAUCUUUUGGUUAACUUGUGUUGUGUUACAAAUUUUCCUUUUAUCCUUCAUUUCUUUUUCAUAAGUUCACGUUAGUUUCAUUAAGCUUGGCAUCAACUGAUUCGCAUCCUACUAAAUUUGGAGAGAGAGAGAGAGAGAGAGAGAGAGAGAGAGAGAGAGAGAGAGAGAGAGAGAACAAGUUCAAAGGCAUAUCCAUGUAUCAUAUAGCAAUAUACCGCAGAAACACGGCCCAUAAUAACUAGGACGCACAUAAUUAAGUUGCAUAUAAUAAUAUAACAUACAGUCAACAACAACAACUCAAGCUCUCUGAUUUAUGAUAUAUGAACAUCAACCCACUGCUCUCUGUAUAUAGUAGUUCGCGCGCACACAACACGCAAUAGAAAAUACAAGUACUACUGCAUAGGCAGGGCGUGCACCACGCCUACCUAUAACCCUUAUUUAUAUGAUUAAUCUACAUAUUCAACACUCCCUAUCUAACUGAUUCACCGACUCUCUCUCUCUAUUUUAAUAUCGUAAUAUAUUCCUUUGCAAGGACGGAUAUCUGUAUAUUAUAGAAUAGGAAGGUUGAUUAAUAAUUGUCUUGCCUCAGACUCAGGGAAGGUGAGGCUUCUCCAAGUCCUCGAUGCUGGUAGGGCGGAACCAAGCCUUCUGCUCCAGCACCGAGGCUCCCUCGCCAAUAUCGGCAGGCGAGGAGCCGUCCUUUCCACCUGCGGUAUGAUUAUGUUCAGCUGCAGGCCCAAAUACCCCAGUUUGAGGGUGUGGAGCCCAGUACUUGUCAGGUUGGGGCGGGAUCACAUUGUCUGGCACAAUGCUGGGUUGACUCUGUUCAUCAGGGUUCUUGUCGUAGACUGAGGCGUGAGCGGCCCUCCUGAUCAACACACGCAUAAAUAAACAUAUGCACAUCAAUUAUCUAUCUAGGAACCAAUUAUCAUUAAAUUAAUUAAAACAUACUCACAAACACAUAUAGCAUAAGUUUUAAGUUUUAAGUUAGUUAAACAAAAUAAAGGGUAUAUGAAAUGAACUUUAAUCUACGUAGAUUGCAGUUUAGCUAGCCAUUCAUUCAUAUGCUUGAAAGAGGGGGAGGAGGUAGGGGACAAAACUUUUCCAUCAAACAUGGAGACAAGCUUAAAUUUACCUUCCCUCUCAAAUUAAUAAACCUAGCUACUACUUGUUUUCAUCUUUUGAGACGAUAAGAAAGAAGUAUGGACGGAUGGCCCACUAUCUUUUGUACUCAUUAGCUGCCUACCUUGCAAAUUGGGCAUCAGUUUAUCUUAAAUUAGAUUAGAUUCCCUAAUAGCCAAGCAUAUAUAAAGGGUGAGGAUUUGUCUUAGGGUAGACGUGACUGCCAACCAUGGCGCAAGUUUUAGACGGGUUAGGUGUCACCUAAUAAGAAAAGAAAGAAGAUAUUCAAAGUCCAUCCAAUCCAACGGAGAAGGCGAUGCUACUCACAUGACCAACAACAUGUUAUCUAAUAAAAAAGAUAAUGACUAGAAACCGACCCAACAACUUUUCCAUUCCCCAAAUAAAUAAACUAGUGGAGUGGGCUGCUAUUAUGCAUUUCUCACACUGCACUUCACCGGCCUAUUUUCGUCAUGCAGGCAUGUAUGUAUAUGGGUAUCCUUCCAAGUUCCAUCCAAAAUAUAAAUUAUAAUAAACCAAAUAUCUGACCAAAAAAUAUUUAAAAAAAUCUUUCAUGGUCAAAAUAAACGAAUUCCUGAUAUUAAUGUUAGAAGAAGAUAGCUACCCCAUUACUUUAACAAGUAAAACCAGACCAAUAUGAUACGGUGGAGUCUCACUAUUCCGAUAAUUAUUUAUCAUACGAAACAAACUCAGUCCCACAAAAAAUAAUAAUGAAACCACAAAGAAAAGCUAUAUAUAUUAUAUAUAGAGCAUGAAACAUGCAAGUUUUGAACCCUAGAUCACUUAUUUAGUUCUUAUUUGAAGUUAAUAUACUUAUUUGACAAACAAAAAUAGAAAAAGAAGUUCGAUAUUUCAUUGGGAGAUACCGUGGCCAUGCAUAUGAUAUGAUGAUAUGCAUGUCCAUGGCGGCACUCCACCAGUUUCACAUAUAGGAUGUAAAUUUACACACACACAAAAAAGGAACAAGACACAUAAACGAAAACACCAAUCGUUAUUAACUUAUUAUUACCAAAACAAAAGUUAAAAAAAAAAUUCCUUAUCUUUUAUUUUUUAAUUUAUUAAGUACAUCUAUGAUACGGUGGACAAUCGUCCAAUAAGAAACGUAGUCAGCACAGCAGUCUGUCCUUAUCCAUACGAUCCACAACUACUGAGUACGGCAAUGAAGCCCUCUCGGUACGAAAAAGCAGAUAAAUAUUAUUCAGCAUUUUGUUUUUCAAUUUGUAAUUUUCAUUUAAGUCACAAAAGCAGAAAUUAUUCGAUGAAAUGGAAAUGGAAAUUCAAAAUCUAAGCUCUACUCUGCAUCAAUGUCUACAGAAAUGAGAAUAAGGUGGCACUAAAAAGAAAGCAAAGAAUUUAAAACAGAGAAAGCAAUUCUUUCACAGGAAUCUCUCUCACACACACACACACCUCUGUCAUAAAUAAAUAAAAAAGAAGGAAUGGAUCUCCACAAGUGAUUCAGAUUCAGAAUAGUCGCGCAUAAUUAAUUAUAGUAAUAUAGACAAGAAAAUAAAUUUCAACUAUUUUAUUUUUCUUCGUUCGGUAUUCAGAUCAUAAAUUGAAAAACUCCAAAGAAUUAGGCCAAACUCUAAGACCAUCAAACAACUCAGAUCGCAACUUUUUUCUCUAACAUCAAAUAAAAUUAUUAACAAUCCAAACUGAUCACAUAAUCAAUAGCAAGCAAUAUGCUCAACGACUUUCCCGCAGAUUUUCCAAACAAAAAUGAAGAAUAGUCUCAUCAAAAGUAAUUCCUAGAAAAAUUAUACCAGUAAAACACGAAGAAACUCAAAUCAAGUACCUGAGAGUGAGAGCAGAGAGCUGAGUUGAAUCGCGCGCUCGGAUCUCGUUGACGACUCGCUUCCCUAAGCUCACGAUCCCUCGACUGCUCGAAUUGGCGGCCAUACAAAUAAGACUAAGCUCAAGUUUACAAAGAUAAAGAGUGUGUGUGAAGGUAGAGAGAGAAGCUUAUAAAACGAGGGAAUAACCGAUCGUUGGCUUUUUUCUGUAAUGACAAGAGUUGUUUGAUGACUCAGUGUUUAUAUAGACACAGAAAUAAAGAGAGGAUAGCGUCUGAUUCUUUCUUUUCACGCCUCACCUGCCCCAGCAGAGAGACUCGUUUCUUUUGGACCGCACCUACCCGUCCGUCCCGUACUAUUUGCUAGUACAAAGCGGUGUCGUUUUUCUUUUGAUGGAAUAUUCUCGUUCCAAUCCUUUAACGGCGUCUUUGGAGGCGUUUGUUACUUGUUAUUCGGUGGGUCGGUGAGUGGGUGUUUGACUCUCCAGGGUCCGUUAGCCGUUUGUUGACUCUCCAGGGUCCGUCAGUCGUUUGUUGACAUGUGCAAACUUUCUCUUCGUCAUUUAAUUAUAAUUUUAAUAGUCUCUCUGCACGCGUUUUCGCGCUUGUAAGAGGUUUUUUUUAAAAAAUAAGUAAAUUUAUUUUAAAAUUAAAAAAAAUAAUAGGUAGUUGUGUUUCAUAAAAAUAGGAUCCAUUAUCUGCUUUUUCUUUUUCUUUUAAUUUUUUUAAAUAUGAAAAAGUGUGAAUUUAUCAUAUUAUCCUCAUUUAAUUAAUAAUUUGAAUUCUUAAUGUUUGCAUUAACCAAUAACAUUUUCUGGUAUUUUGAAUGUUUCACCAUUCUCUGCCUUUUGCUUUAUAUAUAUAAAUUAACUAUAUUAAAACGGAAGGACACGUACUAUUCUUUGGCUGAAAUAGAAUCUUUUGUUUUUAUUUUGGUAAAGUUUUGUUCACAUCGAUCUCUUAAGUUUUUUUAAAUCAAAUCUAUCUCUUAAGUUUAAGUUUCAUAAAUAUUUUUACCUAAUUAAAAAUAAAGAGUCUUGAAUUAACAAUUCAAGACCUUUUUUAUGCUAAAGGGGAACUCGAAUAUUCCGUUGUGUUUGGGCAAACAUGGAGCCAUAACCCAAUUGUUGUUAUUAAAAUAAGGUAGAGAUUGGACCCUUUUUUUUUUAGGCCGAUGGAGGGUAACCUAGUUGGUUUGGUGCUCAACUCCCACCCAGGAUUGGCGUCUAGUGUGUAGAAAAGCUCCCCCUCCACGUGGUGUGGUCGUUGCUUCGAUUUCAACAGAUAUUGUCAAAAAUUUUAUAUCCAAAAAUGAAUGAUCACUAUUAAACUCAACUUAGAAGUAAUUCUGCCUUCGAUCUUAUAGAUCCUUCGACAGAAGAAAGAGUGAUCUGCAAGGAGAAGGGAAAUAAAUAUUAUUCACACAAAUAAUGUUAUGUUAGCAUGAAUCUCGGUUUCGAAUAUGGGUAGAUAUUGUAUUUUUCUUAUUUGUCUACAAGAAAAAACUAACAAAUAUUAUUCACACAAAUCCCCCUUCCGAUUCAAAUGAUUGUACAUGUAAUAAAUAAAUAAAUAUAUAUAUAUAUAUAUAUAUAUGGAAGGACUAAAGACAAAACAACAAUUACGUGGAGAAAAUAUUUUUGUUUGGAUAUUUCUCUACUAAUACUAAGAUAUGUUUAACUUAUAUUAAAUAUGUGCUACAAGAGAAAAAUGUGCGGGGAGUGUUAAUUAAUAUAAUUGUGUAGAGUAAGAAAGGUUGUUUGGAGUAUCAUCAUGAGGAACAUGUGUAGUCUUUGUUUAUUAUUAAAAUUUUGGUAUAGGUAUACCAACAAUGUGUGAAGAGGCAGGUUAUGCUAAAUGCUCGAAUGUGUAAAAUGAAUGAGUGGUAUUAUUGGUCGCUGGUGGUUACUUAGAAAAUUAAUUGCGCCAACCAACAGAGUCUAAUUAGAUUCAAAUGUCUUAACUGACCAAAAAUAUGAGGCCUAUAGAAUGGAGAGGGUCCAUUUCAAUUCAUUUCAAUUAAAGCAAGAAAUACCAUUCACGAUUCGACCGCGAAAGAGAGGAUGAUGCCUGAGUGCGUGGUAGGCCAGGCUUGGCUAAGCAUUCCACCCGCUUAUAAAAGUACUGCUGGGCCGGCUUGAACCCUUUUGGGCCAACCAGCCCAUUUUUGAACAAUGCUGCUGCUGCACCUGCAUCUCAAAAGAAAAGUAUUAUUGCUACUCAUAAUUUGUGGCUGGCUAGCCGUUAAAACUCAAAGCCGAUCGUGUGGCUAUUUGUCAACCAAUCAAAGUUUAUCUGGCCCUCUGCAACACUGUGUGCCUCAGCAAACAGCAAACAAGACCUUAAAGAAUACAAGAACAGAGGGCGUGUGGUUGCCUCUCACUCUCUCACUCUCUCCAGCUUAUCUGUGUGAUCUGGUCGUACGCUUUAGAGUUUGGUAGUAGCAGCAAACAUGUCACAAGCGGUGGUUGCUGCAGCUGCCUCCUCCUCCUCUUCUUGCUCUGCCACCUUCACCAGGCACCAGUACCACCACUCCAUCAAAACUCCACAGCUUCUUACAAGUCCAAAACUUUUGCCAUCAAAUCAAUGCCAGGUACGUACCCAAUUGUAUCUACUAAUGCCCAAAAUAUCACUUGCCCUUCUUCCGGAACCUGUCUUUUAAGGAUUGCUCUCUCUCUCUCUCUCUCUCUCUAGAAAAGUAGCUUCCAAGGCUUGUCACUUGGAGAAGCCAAAAGGGGUGUCUUUGGUUCUUUCGUAGCUGUAGCUGAGGCUGAGAAGAGGAGUAACGCAAGAACAAGAACAGGGCUUGGGAUUAUUACAGCAAAAACUGCCGGGGCUUCAAAGACAAUUGAGGCUGAGGUUGACAAGCCAUUAGGCCUCACUUUGGGUCAAAAGCCUGGAGGUGGUGUUACCAUCACUGUAAGAUUCUUCAAUCAAUUGCAAUUUGCUUUAAUAUUUUAUUAUGUUAAUUAAUGUAGCAGGUGCAGUACCAAGCAGGGAAGCAAAAUGAUCUAAUUUCAAUGAGCUUUCUAUAAAAUUAAUUCCACACCAAUAUAUUAUAUAUGUCGUUGAUUUAGGCCGUGGAUGGAGGUGGGAAUGCAGCAAAGGCAGGGCUCAAGGCAGGGGACCAGGUCCUCUACACUAGCAGCUUCUUUGGCGAUGAAUUAUGGCCGGCAGAUAAGCUGGGAUUUACAAAAACUGCCGUCCAAGCUAAGCCAGACUCUGUUUACUUUGUUGUUAGCAGGUUCUCUUUCAAUCACUUGUUUUAGAUUGCAAAUUUAAGAAAUAUAUAAUACCAAAACACAAGUUGCAAACUGAUUUCUGAUCUUUUUUAAUGCAGGGGUGGUGCUUCUGUAGAUGUUAAACGACUGCCAAAGCGUCCGGCUCCUCCUCGCUUUGGAAGGAAACUAACUGAGGCUCAAAAGGCAAGCAUCAAUCCAUUCCCUUCCCUUCCCUAUAAACUCUCAUAAGCUUCUGUUACUUUCCACAUUGAAUUUGGUGCGCCAUUGACCAUUUUCAGGCUAGAGCUACUCAUAUAUGCAUUGACUGUGGAUUCAUAUACACAUUACAGAAGCCUUUUGAAGAGCAGGUAAUUGGACAAGUGUGCUUUUGAUGUGCAUAAGCUAUCUUCUUAAUCUUAUAUUAAUAAAAUGCAAUGCAAUGCCAAUGCAGCCGGAUGCAUACGUAUGCCCUCAAUGCAGAGCACCAAAGAAGAGGUUCGCACGAUACGACGUGAACACCGGAAAAGCAAUUGGUGGUGGUUUGCCUCCGAUUGGUGUCAUCAUUGGCCUUCUGGCUGGUCUUGCCGGGGUUGGAGCAUUGCUUGUAUACGGUCUUCAAUGAAAACAUUCUUAAUUCCUCCUCCUGUUUAGUUAUACCACUACUAGUACGUUUAAAAUUAUACUGCCCCCUCAGUCCUCAGAUCAUGCAUCAAUUAUUGCAACAGUGUAAUUUCCUCUAAAAACCAUAUGGAAUUGGUUCAAUAGCAUCACUGGGUUAAAAUAAAUUUGGUUCACAGAAGUACAUAUAUGGGAUAAGCCAAAAACAAAAACCAUGUUCGUUGGCCACCAUCCUUGUGUGAUAGGGCUGUGAGAAGAGAUUCGUUGGGCAUGGGUUGCGGGUUGCGAGAAGAGAUGGAGAGCAAAGGGUGGAGAGCAACUGUAUAUCUUAUAUUUUUUUCUUGCAGGUGGCAGUGGAAAAGAAAAAAACAGAGGGAGAAUGAGAGGACAGGGAGAAGAGAUAGAGAGCAAAGGGUGGAGAGCGAGGGCAGAGGGGGGAGAGACGGAGUAAUAAGGAAGGGGGAUGAAAAGUUGCAGAAAAAAAAAAAAAAAAGGAAUUUUCAUUAAAAAAUUAAAAAAAUAUUUUUUUUUAUCUACAUGUCACAAUGUAAUUGGACAAAUGGGCUCCACUUAUUUUUCAUGUCACACUUAACAGAAUUUAUAACGGCAGAAACCAUUUGUAAUAAAAUACACAAACGUUAAGGGCUAUUAGUGUUACAAAAAAAUCUCAAGGACCAUUCGUGAUAAUUUCAUAAAUAUAAAGGACCAUUUGUGAUAAAAAACCAGUUGAUUAUUAUACAGUACUACAACUAGUCCGCCUACGCAUGUUAUGACAUUUCCAGGAACCAUUACGAAUGGCGACUGAGAAGAGGAACGUUUGGUUGGGGUUGGAAACACAAAACGGACAAUUGCAAAGAACAGACGUUUUGUUCCGAUCUUUUCACAAAAAAGUUGAAAAACCUUCUUCUCUUUUUUUUAAAAAAAUUUAUUAUUAUUAUUAUUUUCUGUCUAAUUGGGCUUUUGUCAUUUAUUAUCUUGGGCCUUCUGUUUGUUUGAUCUGUUGUUGGGCUCCCUUUUGUACUUAAAAAUGGAGAACCAUUUUUAUUAAACGUAAAAUUGACAGAUUUUGACAAUAGUAUCAAUUUGAUAUUAAAUGGAAAGUUGGAGGACUAUUGAAAUGAAAAUUUUAGUUAGUGAAUUAAAAUGAGACUGGAGCAAAAAUGAAGGGAUCAUUUCGGUCAAUAACCCUAAAAGAAAAAGGAAAUAUUUUUGCUCACCACUUUAACCCUAAUGUGUACCCGAACCACCAUUCUCAACACUUGACAUGUAUCCAUUAGCAUAACCAUAGUUAACUCUUUACUUUAUAUUUAUAGAACCAUGAUUAUGUCAAUAAACACGUGUCAAGUGUUGAGAAUGGUGGUGAGAGUACACCUUGAGUUAAAGUGGUGAGCAAAAAUACUCCCAAACCUUGUAAUCGAAGAUAGUUAUAAAAAGUUAUAACCUUUUUUUUUGGGCAUCUUUUUUGGCGCUUUUUUACCUGUUCCAUUCCAGUCGAGUAGUGCCCUCUGGGCUCCUCAUCUUUGGACAUCAUAAUUCACGCAACUCACCACAGUACUUCACCAACUUUACGUAUUCUCUUCUUCAGAGUUGACACAAUCGAAAUCUACGCCCAACCCAAAUAGAGAGUAGGGAGCUUCUUUUUAGCUGAGAUAGAGAGAUGGAGAGAAAGGUACUGCUGGUUUGCUGCGCAGUGGGUCUCUUGGGGCUAUUAUCAGCUGCUACAGGUUUUGGUGCUGAGGUAACAAGAAUCAAGGUAAAUCGAAAAAGAUUAAGUGGGUUUUGCUUAGAUCUUCUUGUCCUUUUUUCAUAUGGGUUGGUUCAAAUUUGUUUCCUUUCUGCUUAUACACUAAUCUAACCCUGCGUUUUGGUUGCUCUGAAAUAAGGAAAGUGAAAGAGGAAUCUUCAGUUUUGUUGUAAUAUUCCAAAAUAGGCCAUGAAAUUGUAUUAGUAUGGUGGACUGAAAGCUUAGGGUGAAAAUUCCCAAGCUUGGCGCUUCAAUUUUUCCUUUGCUUCGACCAAACUGAGAAUAAUUUGGAUUAUUUCUUUUAUUUUCCGCAAAUUUCCUCUUUCUUGUUAUUUUUCUUGUUCCUACUGCUUCUGCUUGAAAUUCCUGUUCGAAAGCUGAAACCUUUUUUUUCCGUAUAUUUUUAUUUGGCACCCGAACCCAGCUCUCCUAUUUAGUUUAGCUUCAUAAAUGGCUUCUUCUUUGACUGACUUCAACGCUUCCUACCCCUUUCUAGAAGACUGCCAGACUGGAAAUUAAUAUCAUAUUUGGUGUUGACUUUGAAUGUCUCUGGUUAAACUUCCAAACUUCAGCUCUUUUAUUCGCUUUCAAUGCUUCUACUUUUGCGGGUUCCAAAAUGAGGGUGCGGAAACUCGCUAGUAUAGUUUGCCAAAGCAAUUUUGCCUGUUGUUCACUGCAUUAGAACGUGUUUUGAAAGUGCCUUAAUGUUUUACAACUUGAUUAAAAAUCUCGUGUUAUCUUCUACGCGCUAUCCUUUCAUCUUAAUCUUUAUCUUUUUGAACAAAUAACUCAUCUUAACCUUCAAUGCCAAAAGAGCAGUGUUUGUGUAAGAAUCUCAGAUAGAGAUUAAGGGAGAGAGUAUGUCUUCCCUCUCCAUCUGGCAGUUAUUGUUGGACCUCAAUUUGUUAGAUAUUCUCACAAGUUGUCAUUUUUGGAGGGAUUGUUUAAAACCUUUGAACAAGUUGUCUCUGAUGUUGGGUUUAGUUUUUCCCCAGUUUUUGUUGACACUCAGUAUGUAGUGGAAACGAUGCUGGAAAUGAUCUGUUACUUUGUUUCAUAACCCUACUACUUUGUUUCAUAACCCUACAGGGUUCUCAGGUUCGGUUUGUCUCCGUUACUCAAUGUGAAUAUCCUCGGAGUCCAGCUCUUGGUCUUGGUGUAACUGCUGCAGUGGCUCUUAUGCUAGCUCAAAUAAUUUUAAAUGUUUCAACGGGCUGCAUUUGUUGCAAGAGGAGCCCCCAGCCUUCCAACUCUAACUGGACAGUAGCCUUGUUCUGCUUUGUUGUUUCCUGGUAAUUCUCAACUGAAACUUGGUGAAUGGUGAAUCGACGGUAGAACACUUCUUAUCGUCUGAUACUUUUAUUAUAAUCAUUUAUGAUAUUAUACUUUCGUGAGGAAAUGACUUGGGCUGCUAAUCCAAAAGCAUGCUUGGUUUUGACAGUUUGGCCUUUGUCAGGGUGAAAGGUUAAACAAAUCUUGCCAGUUUCUUAAUGUUGUACAGUUUAAAAAGAAAAUACCAAUACUUCUUUUCUCCUCUUAUUUUGGGUGCAUCUAACUGUUUAAGUUGAGUUGGCUUUGAAAUUUUUCUGUCUGUUUAAAAUGGAUUAACAAUGGAUGUGCUUCACUCCAUACUCCACAUUCCACACUGGUGCAGGUUCACGUUUGUUAUAGCAUUUCUUCUGCUGCUCACUGGUGCUACACUCAAUGAUCGGCAUGGUGUAGAAAGCAUGUACUUUGGCAACUACUACUGUUAUGUUGUGAAACCUGGAGUGUUUGGUGGAGGUGCCGGUUUGUCACUUGCAAGUGUGGUACUAGGAAUUGUCUACUAUGUCACCUUAAAUUCAGUAAAGGACAGUAACAGUCCAUGGGGCACUUCUGCUCCUCCUAAUCCAGGGGCAAUAGCUAUGGGGCAACCCCAGUUCCCUCCACCGAGUACCACUCAAGAACCAGUAUUCGUCCACGAAGACACAUACAUGAGACGACAAUUCACAUGAUUCGUGGAUAUCUUUGUUCAGUUAUUCCUGUUGCAUCACUGAACUUUUAUGGUAAGAGAGCCUAUGAGCAGUUUUUGAAGAAGUAAUGAUUGCCAUUGUAGGAAAUGGGCAGUUUUCUUCAUGCAGUGUAUAAUCUGUUGGUGGCAUAGCUCUAUAAUCCCUGUUUCGGUUUGUCGUUCCUUAGGAUUGUAUUUGAUUUUGUUUAUACCACACAUUGUGCAAGAAACCGAAUGUGUUUGAAUAGGAGCUGAAUAGAUUAUUUAAACCUAAGGGAAAUGCUUUCUGGUUCAUCCAUGGUAGUAAUCUCUCCAAAAUUUUGAUUGUGGCAUAUUGCAUGGAGGAACUCGAUGGAUUCACAAACUUUGUCCACUCUUGAUCCAGCAUCUUUGAUUUUUUGUUAUGAUUUUGGCAGAAAUAUAUAGACCAAUGGAGAUCUUUCGUAAAAAAUUCAAGAAAUUUUGACAGAAUGGUGGGGGAGGCUUUGAUAGUUCCCUAAACCCGAAAUAUUUUUGCUCACCACUUUAACUCAAGGUGUAUGCUCACCACCCUAGUUAAAGCGGUGAGCAUUCCAACCUCACAUGUUCCAUUCCUCUCUCCCCCCCUCCAAAAAUUAUUGCGUUAACCGACUUUGCCAUUUUUUUUUUCCUUUCUUUUUUUGGUUGUAAAAAACAUCAAUCUUACCGUUUUAACUAUCCAAUUAUUCCUUAUUUUUUUAAAAAAUCUCCAAUUUUUCGAUAACAAGAAAAAAAUCUCCUUCAAUUAAGGGAAAUUUUGAAAAGUCAGAUUAUAGGAUUUUUUUACAAAAAGAAAUUACUAGAUAUGAAUUCAAACUCAGUGGUGCGUUGUAUUUGGAGAAUUUAUAAAAAAUAGCCAAAACUUUCUUUAAUUUCAAAAAUGUCAGUUUUUGUAAAAUAUUUCAAAUAUAGCAAAAAAUUCACUUAAAUAGACACAAAUGCCCUCAAAUUUAAAACCCAUAUAAACCUAAAAAAUAAACCUUAUUAAAUAAAACUUUGGAUUUUUUUUAACCCACGUUUGUACACAAGAACAAAAGUUGAAAUAUAUCAUCCUAUUUAUUGAUAUUUUUAAUCAAUUUAAAUUUAGUCCCAAUCCAAGCAUCACCAAACAUUGGUUAAGUGUUAUUCAACUUAAGCCAAUUCAAGCCAAGACAAUUUCUUAGAAUAGUUCAUGCCAAGACAAUCUUCCGUAACAAACGAGGCUGAAGAGACCAACUUGGCAAACGACUGGAAGACUUGUUGCCAGAUCAAUUGCCCAAGUCUAUCCGAAUGACACCAUUAUUUUGUCUUCUUCGAUGGAUCAAUCCGUUGAGUGUUCCCCUACACACAUAAAUGUUGCACUGGCUUCUCAAAGAAGCUAAUAAGUUUUAAAAUUGGCAGCCCAUCCCACACGUCAUGUUGCCUUAUAAAAGCCACACAACCAUAUUUGUACAAUUUGAGUGACAAAGUCAAAAGAAUUUUCCACAGAAAAGAAUUGAUUUGUAGGCCAAAGAAAAAUCAAAUCAUGUAAGUCAAUGUUCCCAACAUUUUCCACUAAAAAAUUAUAUCCUUGUUGCUGAGCUUGGUUGAA